This 59349-nucleotide long non-coding RNA is filed under the name Populus trichocarpa (black cottonwood). Its description in RNAcentral is "long non-coding RNA (PTRI_LNC004287)". The record is from RNAcentral. Lineage: Eukaryota; Viridiplantae; Streptophyta; Magnoliopsida; Malpighiales; Salicaceae.
GAUAGCAUCACUAUCCUACACUCGUUAAGAAACUGACUGCCACUACUAUAACUCAAUUUUCACAUUCAAAGAGUAGCCAUAUCUUUUGCAGCUAUUUCUGUGUUUUUUAGAACUCGUGAUAUUUCAGAAAGCAGUGCAGACAAUUGAAUAGACAGAUACCAAUCUUAACUUAUUGGGUGUGAUUUAUCUCAAAAAAAAAUUGUCGAUGUAAUAAAUAUUUCAAUUGAUCUUUCGAGUAAUAAACCCUUCCAAAUUCAGCUGCAGGAAUCAAGAUCAGAAUCGAAACAUUAAAGGUCACUUUACAACUACUAACUAUCCAGAUUUCAACAGAUCCGGGGAUCACCCCACCACAUCAAUGAACACUCGCACUCAUACCAUACAUUUCAGCUAUUCACAAGCAAAACCCAGUUAACUACACACAAGAACAUAAGUAUACCUCUGUCAUGAUUAGUAUCUACCUCAGUCAAUCAAAUUGUCCACAACAUUACUCCGCAAAGAGCUCAUUCACGCAAACCACCUAAUCUUCCUUUAUACUGUAAAAUCACUAAUCAUUAACGUAAAAAAAACCUCUCACCCUAAACUCCAUUUUCCAAUCCUUGAAAGCAUUAUAUCACCAAAAACCCCUUAACCAACUACAAUUUCCAAACACAAAAACAGUUUAUAACAUCACUACUCCAUACACUUCAAUAUCCCAAAUUUUCACUAUUGUAACUCAACUUUCACAAUACAAACAAAUUCACAUAAUAACCCUAUUCCUCCUAGCAAUAAAAAAUAAAAUAAAAAAUAAAAGACAGGAACAAGACAUAAUAAAUUAAGGUGAAAUAACUACAUUAACACCUAUAAUCACCAAAAUAAACCGCAUUAACCCCAAAAAACAAAUUUUAGCAAAAACCCACAUCACAAAACCACUAAAAAACAUCAAAAAAAAAUUAACAAAAAAAGAAAUUAUGCAAGAGAAAGGGAUUGUUUAAAAUAUAACCUCAAAUCCAAGAGAGGAUUUAAUGAGUCUUUGAACAUAACCAAUAAUUUGUUUCCUCUUGAAAUUGGAUUCUACUGUUGGGUGUAUUCUAUAAACAAUCUCUCUCGUAAAUUCCUCUGCUCUCUCCCAAUUCUCUUCCACAAUUGACCAAGGAUCCGGAUUCGAAGAAAAAGAAGGAGAAACCGGGUCUUGACCCGAACCCAGAAGACCAUGGUGAUGAUCAUGAUCAUUUUGGUGAUGAUGGUGGUCGUGAAAAUGGCCGUUUUCAGUCGGAAAGUCACAAACUUGAAGAUCACCCAUUAUUUAAAACUGAAAUUCUAACAAAACCCACAGAUUUAUUUCUUGAAAGAAGAGAUUUUCUUCUUGCUUGACAGGAUCAUAUCAUUUGCUGCCGUUUUUUUCUUUUGCUUUCUUUUUUUCCUUCUAGUUUAGUAAGAGAGAGAAAAAAAGGUUUCUUUUUCGAGGAUUGAAAUUGAAUUGUUAUUACUAUUAUUAUUAACACAGAGAAGAUGAGGAAAGAACAAUUUUAAGAACCCAGAAACCGAAAAAAGAGAGAAAAAACAAAGGAAGAGAAAGGAUUCUUUUCUUAAUAUCUUUGGGUUUUCUUUGGAAUUUUUUGUUUUUUUUUUAUACGAUGUUUGUGUGGGGGUUUGAUUUAUUGAUUCACAGGUCGUUUGUUUGCAUGUCAGUCUGAUGAGAUGCGACGGAAAGGAAGUGAAGAAAAAGUAAAGAAGGAGAAAUAUUAUUAUUAUUAUUAUUAUGAUAAGAGUGAUAUACGGCCAGUUGAAUCGAUUUAGAACCGGGCUGAUCUGGAUUCUGGAUUAGAAAGAAGAAUUGAUUUGGUUUGGCCUUAUUAAAAAUCCGAUGAAAACUUAUUUAGAUCCGAUUAAUAACUUGCUGGCUGUUUUUUUAAAAAACAUAUUAAAUUAAUUAUUUUAAUUUAUUUUUAAAUAAUUAAGUUAAUUCUCUUCCGCAUGAGUUAAUUUUAAUUUAGGUUUAUCAUAUAACGGGUUUAAUAAUUAUGAGAUUAUAUAAGAAUAAAGAUUUGUUAUGUUUCGUUUACAUUUACUCCAAGCAGUUUUUGUUUGUUUGUUUGUUGAUUUUUUAUGUAAAAAAUAUUAAUUUAAAAUAGUUAUUUUCAAUAAAAUAAAAUAUUUUAUUUGGUUCUUUCUUUCCCUCAAUUUAUACCGUUAAAAAAAAAAAUUCAGAUUCAUAUAAUCUAAAUUCCAUAGUUUUAUUUGGUUCUUUCCCUCAAUUUGUAUUUUUUAUUUUAUUUAUGUUGGCCUUGAUAAAAUAAGACGUCGGUGGCAUAACCGAAAGUUAAUUUCUAGAAUUGAAACUCAUAAAUUAAAUUAAAGUUUCUAUUAUGGAUAACCGAAAGAGGAAGUUCAAUGUAUUUAAUGAAGGAUUCCUAAAUUGAAAUGACUUAAUGAAAUGCUACUCAAAAUCUCAAUAAUUACUAUAUAUUAAUUUUAAUUCUCGAAUCCAUUUUCAUUAUGUUAAAUUUGAUUUUCAUCUUUAUUAUCUUUAUUUGGAUUUUAUAAAAUCACAAUAAUAAUAAUAAUAAUGAUAUACUAUUAUUACCAUAAAUAAAAUUACAUUUUUCCCUAUAAAAAACAUAUCCUAUUAAUUAAUCAUAUGGCCGUACAUGGUAAUUAUAAUAUUUAUUCGUUGAUCUAAAUCAACAAUGAGCUUAAUGUGUCAUCAUAACGUUAAUUAAUGACAGUUUAAUGAGUCAUAAAAUCAUAGGAUUAGCUUGGCCGUGGCAUCUUGCAUGCAUGCAAGUUGUCAUCUCUGUAGCCAGCCCCGACUGAUCGACAUUCUUAGCGAUUAGACUUGCUCUCUCUUCCUUUUUUUAACAUCAAGUACAUUAAUUAGAGCACUCUACUCUGUAUCUAGCAAUUUUAUUUAUUUAUUUAUUUAUUUAAAAAAAGAGGAAUUCAAAUUAAAAUAAUAAUAAUAAUAAUAAAAAGCAGGGGAUCCAAAAGAAGUCUCAUGCCCAUAGGAUAUUUGACACGGCAAAUGGUUACUUGCACUCUUCAUUAGGGAUUGAUUACCUUUUGGAUAUGGACAUCACAAAAGUCAAUUCCUUUGAAUAUCCAGACAACUUUACGCUCACAACUCUCUAAUUUUGACAGAAUCCAAAGAGAUAAUUAAUUAAUUAAUUACUCCAUCAAAUUAUUAUUGUCGACUGCCAUAUUUGAGGGCAAACCCCAAGUAACGUAUCACAGUUUGUAAUCUUCACCUUUGCCUGCCUAAACUUGCUGUCCAUCCAAGAAAAACACGGUGGCUACUACGUGUUUUUAUAUAUAUAUAUAUAAUUAUAAAUAUUCAGAUCUGCUUAUAUAUAUAAAUACAAGUAACUCUAAAGAGUUUAACUUAACUGGUCAGAUUUUAAAUUUAAUUUUUAAAAAUCAUCAGUUCGAGUUUUAUAAAUCUCAAAAUCACUAUAAAUUUAUAUGAUUAUUAAUUUCAAAAAUCGUCAAAUUAGUUGAGAAGAGUGAAAAAUGUUAUAUACAUCUAUAUUAAUAAUAAUAAUAAAAAAAAAACAAAAACAAAAAUCAAUGGUGGUCCCAAUCCAUGGUUUAUGUCUCUGCUGGGUCUCCUCUUGGCUAUGUGUGAACAUCUAGCAUGCUCCUUUACCUAAAGUUGUACUUCUUGAUAGGCUGAUUAUCUUCUGCCUCCUAGCCAUGAGGUUUCUUCUCCAUCGACUCUUGACUUUCAAUCAUCUUAUCAACCGUCAAGUGUUGACAGAAAAAGAAUGUAGAGCAUGUUAUAGUCUAGUCCUUGUGCUUUCAAGACUUUGAUAAGAUAGUCUCUCUUGUUCAAAAAUUCCAUAUUUAAUCCUUUUAUUUCAUGGAUCAAUUGGCGUCUUAAACGUGGGAUUUUCCAUAGAUUUGUCAUGUUUAUAAUGAAAUCGAUAUGAUUAGCUUGAAUAUCAACCAUUAAUUAGCUUGUUUAGUUAAGUUAACUGAAGGCUAGAUUUUUUAAAAAUGAUAUAUGAUUGAUAUUUUUUUUUUCUAUGAAAAACUCUAGACCAUUGAUUUUUAACUACUGGUUUGGAUUUCACAAAUGUAUCAUGUUACUGGCGGAGUGGUAUUAUCCUUGUAGAUCUAUCCGAGAUUGUUGAUGGAGGAUAAACUUUAAUUUCAUAAAUUAUUUUAAAUAAAAUAAAUAAUAGUUAGUAGAAUAGUGAUCAAAUUUGAGAGAUAAAAAAAUACAAAGAUGAUAAAAUUGAAAGAACUUCAAUUUCAUAAAUUAUUUAAAAUAAAAUAAAUAAAAAUUAAAAGAAUUGGGAUCAAAUUUGAUAGAUAAAGAAUUUUAAUUAAGAAAAGAUAAGAUAAAAACAAAAUUAACAAAUAAUGAUAAAUGAAUAAGGACCAAAAUUAGAAUAAAAAUUAAAUUAAAUUAAAUUCUAAAAAAAACAAAUAAAAAAUUAUAACAAUAAUAAGAUUGAAGAUCAAAUUUGAUAUAAUUAAUAAAUAACAAGAUAUUUUUAAAUUUUUCACAACUUUCUAGAAAAUAUUUUCACUUAAAAUAAAAUAAAAAUAUUUUUUAAAAUACAAUAUCAGUUUUUUUUAGUAAAAAAUAUUUUUGAUCGUUCAACUUUUUUUUAGUAUUAAACAAAUACAAAAAAAAUAAAUAAAAAGCAGCCUAACAAUUCCCACCAGAAUAGCCUAAGCUACUAAUAUAUAUAUAUAUAUAGGCAGACAGUGGGCUCUGACCUACUGGCUUCUGGCCCCUUGGUAGAAUUGGGUGCCUAGAUAUGGGACCUUCGACAUUCAGCGACACCCAACAAUACAUUAAUUAUAAUGGAAAAAGCCACUCCCUCGAAUUGUUGAUGACUUGUGCUUAUUUUCUUUCUUCCUCUGUUUUACUUUUCCCCUCUCUGACAAUUAGGUUUUGGGGGUUUGUUGCAAGGUUUGAUGAAUCUAGACUCGUUUUAAGAGGUGCAAUUACCGAUUAAUUCACAUUCAGACUGAUAUAGUGUAUCUUAGACCAUGUCAAGGUUCUUAUGAUAAUAUCAAUGCCAAAGCUCUUAAUUAAUGUUCACCAAAACUAGAAAUAUUAAUGAAGCUGUCAAGAAGAGCAACAUUGGCCAAGAAGUGUGAUGAGCCAUUCACCAUGGCAUGCAUGCAUCGACCAUUCUUAGUUUCUUGCAACAUUCCUUUGAAAAUUGGGUUCAGAAGCAAUUCAUUGAUCUCUAAGCAUUAAUGAAGGUAGAAAGUUUCAGAAGCACUAGAAGAGCUGACUUACUGGCAACUUGGAGAGCAAGAUAUGUAUUUGUUCUUCUUCACCGACGAAUAGGAAUACAGCCCGAGAACAAAUAGUAAAAGUUUUGCAGUCUGCUGUAACAAAAGUAUACAUUUAAGAAAUCAAAUCCUAGUAUCAUACCAUUGCCCAUGAGCGAUUCAUACAAAACUAAGCCAAAACUGCUAUAUUAAUGACAUGUUUGUUCAACUCUUUUAUCUGAUAUAAUAGAUGCAACGAUCUCAGAAUACCACAACUCCAGCUAUGUGAUACACCCUUGCCAGCAACAUCUUCAUUGCUGAGACAGUUUGUUUCCAGAUUUUGAUCUAGAGUAAAUGAAUUUAUAAAAAUGAGAAUGUUUAUGCAUCCAAGUCCUUGUUUGAGUUCCACAAGGGGACUACGUUUGGUACGCCACCAUCAGCUAAGAUCCCAGUUCCAUUUUCUGCGCUGAUUAAAGGAUCAGUUUCACUUUCCUUGACCUAAAACCCAUUCAAAAUAUGAGAGCAUAAGAUGUCUGAAAAGGCUUACAGGCACUAACUAACUUUGCACUCAUAACAUGAAAGAGAGGUAAGAGAAUUACCUCAGGCAAUUUUGCUGGUGCUUCAUUUUGCUUCUGCUGAUUCUCAAGGGUGCAACAGUAAGAAUACAGUACCAUUCCAACCACUGCAAUGAGGAUUCCCAAAAUGUUGCGCCAGCUAAAUGGAUCACGAAGGAGAACAUAGCCAAAUGCCAAAACUAGGCAUGUUUUCAGAUGUCCUAGGACUUGAUAGGUGACCGGAGAUGUCUUUCCAAUCACCAGAAAAGUACUGAAGUUCACAGAGACAGAGAUCAGGCAGGAUAGAACAAUGAAGAACUGCAACCACAUAAUGCACAGAAAAUGGUCAGAAGCAAGAAAACAAAGAAAAUGCCAGGAAAGAGGUUAAAGUAUUCCUCAAUUCUCACCAGCACUAGAGGGGUGUAUUUGAAAGCAAGAACGUUUUUGUUAGUCAGCAGCCCAUCCAGGAAUGGGCCAACAAUGAACAAGGUUAAUGCCUGAUAGGGGCAAGACUGGUACAGAAGUUGUGUUGAAGAGACUCUGAACUUCUUCUGGAUGGUAUUGGUCAUCUGAAAUGCACUGGUUAAGAUUUUAACAAAACAACAAAAAUAAAAAACAAAAGACACAGACUUCCCUAAGAAUGAAGGGAUGGUAGCCACACAGUACAGCGCUUAUUAUAUAUUUCCUUUGCUUUUGCUUACCAUUGAAACGACUAAAUAAGGUAUCUUAAAGUAGAAAAAAAGAAAUCAAAUAGCAAUUAGCAAAGGAACUUCAGCUAAGGAUACAAUCUGAGCAACACAGGUUGUAAGGACUGCAAGCAGAGACAAGAUAGAUCCCAGGACAUUGAGCUGAAGAUCAGUCACAGUUGCAAUUCCAACACCCAUAAGAAGAAUGGUCAGUGAAAGCUGGAUACUCCGACUGCAGUAUCACAAGUACAGCAGGCAAGAGUAACCACAUAUACAACUUAAGCAAGUGCAUCAAAAAUUAAAUUGUUGUCACAUAACUUAUGAAAACAACAUUAGUUACAUUAGUGGCAGGCCUAAAAAUUUCUCAAUAAACAAUAUACUCAAUAAUUCAGACUUACCUGAAUUGCUUACGGAAGAAAAGCGUCUCCAAAAGAACAGUACAUGGGAUGAUAGCCAAUUUUGUCAUCUAAAAAAUGGGAAAAGAAAGUAAAUAAAUUUGCAUAAGCUAUUGCUCCAAAAUGGUUUAUAAGGGAAAAGAAAACCUAGCAUCAAGGAUUAAAGUGGACAGGACAAUAGUUAACAUAUGACAGAAAAAAAGGUCAACCAAAGGACUUUCACUAAAUAUGAUAUUACUAGAUGUCAACAAAUCAAGAUGCUGCAAAGGGAAACCCAACCUAUCCACAGUCAAUUCAUACUUUACAAGGAAGAGUUUAAUAAACAACAACCUGGUCUCAUUUAAAUCACAGGAAAGUAUUAAGCACUUUUUGUUUUUACUGUUUACCACCCCCCCUGAAACACAAAAGCACUUAAAAUGACUUUCUAGUCUACUGCAUCGAGGCGCUACUGUCAAAGAAUGAUAGAGUAUGUAAAUCAAAUUCCAUGGCCACUGAUCAUACAUAAUAGCAUACUGGUUGGGAAGAAAAAUGCAUACCAGAUCAUAAGUCUGGCACAGAGAGGACAGCAUACCUGAUAAAAACCAACUGAGUUGAAACCCAAGCUAAGAUUCAAAAGUCCAAUGGAUAUCCCAUUUAGUAUGCCAAAUCCCAUUACCGCUCUUGCAUCAAAAGGCUUGUGUUCAAACAAUUUCAUCCAUAAUGCCAUGUGAAGAGAACAAAACGUGACCAGAAGAUGCCAGCUUGUCAAUGUUGUGGCUGCAUUUGCCAAAAAAUAAGUUAGUAUAAAUGAUGGCGAAAAUUAGAAAAAAUAAAAUGCUGAGCAACAAAAAUAUUGAUGAUAAUUCAAAUCAAGCACAUCUAAAGAAAAAUGACCGCAUACAGAGUUUCCACCCAUUUACUAUCAUCAUCAAAAACUGCCAGUGAUUAUAUGCCAUAUGCUUGCAUCCGAGUAUAAGGGAAAGAAGCAAGGCAAGAAUAUAUGAAAUCAUCAUUUCAUUGCAUCAUAUUGCAGUUGGAACACAUCAGAUACUACAGUCACCAAAUGAAAUCCCACACUAUAAAACAUCAAUUGAUGAUCAGUAACUAAUAAGAUUGACUUCUUAUGCGCUAUGUGUCCAUGAUCAAUUGAUUGUAAAACCUUACAAAGAUGCAUUGGAAACAAUACAACGUGACAAAUCAUAAACAGUUUUUUAAAUUUACACUAAAUGAUGAAGACCAUGCGGUCUUAAGCUUUUACUUACAAAAAACACCAUUUUUAUCCGUUCCAUAAUUUCUGAAAAAUGAGCAUAUGGUCUCCUAUUCCAUCAUUCAUGACCUCACACAAUUACCAUCCAUGCAUAAUCAUAAAACUUGUCCUUUUAAAAUGAAUUUUGGCAUCUAAUAUAACCAGCAAACUCCCCAUCCAACUAUCCACGAUCAUGUUCUAAAAAAAGACACAUUUAUAUUGAAUAAAUAUUGAAUACCGCAACAUAAAAAGUGAUUCAACAACGUAACAAUCAUAACUUCACAAAAAUCAAAUCUAAUCUAAGCAAACAAAAUACAUUAUGCUUAAAAGGAGAGGGUAUGCAAAUAUAAACACUCACCAAAAGUGAAGCCAAGAGUGCUAAUGAGAGCCUUAUUGCAAAUCACAAGAGCCUUAUUGCAAAUCACAAUAGAAACCGACGAAACCACUGAUAAACUCAAAGCCCCAACGGUCCCUAGCUGGAAUUUCUGGCAAUCACUCUAUCUCCUUGAUCCAGAUCUAUCAAAAUCCCAAAACCUCAAUACAAUCAACACAUUUGUGCAUAAAAAAGAAAACCCAUUUGUGCAUAUAAAAGAAAACCCAUUUCAGAUUUUACUUAAAAAAAACCCCUUUCAGAUUUUACACAACAAAGAAAAACCCAUGAAAGCAAUACAUUUGUAAUUCAAUACAGAAACAAAAACCCACUACCUGAUUCACCUCAUAAUUUGAUCCAAAAUUUUCAAAAUGCAAUCAAUGCAGCUGAGACUGUCAAGAAUUAACAAUGGAUUAGAACAAAAACCACAGAUCUGUUACUAAAAUUAAAGAUCAACUUAGAGAAAUAGAAACCUUUGGCAAUUCUUGAUAACUGAAAUCUAUCUAUAAAAGAAUACUAAAAGGGGUUUUUUUGUUUUUGUUUUUGCCCCUUUUUUUCUUUGCAACUCUGUUUGCUUUGAUUGAGAAUGAGAGAAAGUGAGAGAGAUUUAUUUAUAUAUAAAUGGAAGAGAAAUGGAAAUGGAGAAAAGGGAGGAGUGCUGGCGUUGAUGCUGUUGCUGUUGGUGAUGGGAAGGAAGCUUUGACUCUCUUCCGUUUUUCGGGGAUUAAAUUGUAAUUGUGUCCAAAUUAGGGGACAUCAAAUUUAUGGCUUUGUUUGGGUAGAAGGUUAGAUGCAGACAUGUUCUUUACAAGAGUCAUCAUUUUUUGUUCGAUUCGGUUCGUUUUUUAUUUAUAAAAAUAAUCAAAUUAAAUAUUUAUAAAAUACAAAAAAUAAAAUCAAAACUGAACAAAAACCGGUUCCAACCGACCGAUUUUGAUUUGGUUCGAUUAUUUUAUAUUAAAAACCAAAACCCAAUCAACCGAUUUCGGUUUGGUUUGAUUUCAGUUUGGUUCGAUUAUUUUAUAUUAAAAACUUUAUUGUUUUUUGGGUUUUUUUGAACUUUUUGAUGGGAUUGGUUUCGGUUCGGUUUUUCAGUCCAAUUCGGUUUAUUUUUAACUAAACCGGUUUGGUUCGGUUGAGAUUUUUUGGUUUCAGGCUUAUAAAACCGAACCAGAUCGAAUAUUUUUUUUAAAUAUUCUAAUCGAUUUAAUCGGUUUUUUUUCAUGGUUUGAUUUUUUUGAUUUUCUUAGUUUAAUCGAUUUGUCAUUUUUUUUACUCACCCCUAAUUCGUUUUAUUUUUAGAUAGGAUGGUAAUAGAUACUUAUAGGUCUGGUUUUGUAUUAUUCAUACCCAAACUUAAAACUAAAAUAACUACCCGAACCCGGCCCAAACAUCUAUGUGUUUUUGAUACCCAAACCCGACCCAAACAGAUGUGUAUUUUUUAUACCCGAACUUGACCCGAUAGAAUUUCGAGUAUCCAUAACCCAAACUUGAAACCCGAGCCCAAUGCUAUAUUUACAUUUAGUAUAUAAGUAACUUGGGAUAUAUGUAAUUUUUUAGAGCUUUAAAAUUAUCUAUUUAUUUCGAGUUGGUAUUUGAGUUGAUAACCAUCAUUUUCAAGUUAAAUUGUCAUCUUUACUAUCAAUCAACUUUUAUGUAAUAAUAUUUUUUUUUAUUGUGAUUAAGUCUUACAUAUAUUUAUGAUAAUUAAUUCAAACCUUGCAUGUUAUUAAACUCGAACUGCUUCAUUAUGUUAAUUUGGUGAUUUAAUCUAAAAUUUAAUUCAGUUUAAGUUUUAAAUUAGAGUUGACUCGAUUAACCCAAUAAAAAUUUAUUUUUAUUUUUUUAAAAUAAAUUAUUAAAAUAAUAUCAUUCUAAAUUAACCCGUCUAAGUUAUAACUUGAAAUUUAAAUCAAGUCAUGAGUCGGCUGGAGUUGAAUUUAAUAAAUAAGUUAUUUACUACUGAAACAAACAUGGUCUGAAAGUGAAUUACAACUUAGCUCUCAAAUGAUAAUUUCCCAAAGAAAAAAAGAAUGGUUGAUGGGGUGUCACAUUGACAUAUCAAACUCAAUCAAGCGUGGAGAUUGUUAGGUUAGACAUCGGAAGCAAUUAUUUGGUCUCAUGAGAUUUUUUAUAUUUUAACAGGAACUAAAAUAAAACAACAGGCGAGUUACUGCCAAAUUGGACUGUCAUUUGCAAUUAUAUCAUCACUACAUUCCAUAAUAAUACGAUGUAUAGUGGAUUAGUGUUUUAAGAUUAAAAAAAAUAUAAAUAUAAAUAUAAUAAAAACAUGUCUUUUGGUAUGGUUUUUGAAUAAAUUCUCUUUAUUUUUUUAAAAAAUGUUUUAUUUUUUAUCCUGCUAUCUCUGUGUUUUUUAGUCCUGAAAUAAUAAUAAUGAGAUGAUUCUAAUGCUAUGAUUUGUUAGUUGGCAUGUCAAGUAAUUAGAUCAUAAAGAACUCUCUAUUUAAAAAUUGCCAUACCUUCUCCGAUCCACAACGAAUAUACAUAUCAAAAUGUGACACCAUGUUGUGGUCAUCUCCCAUGAGAAGACCUAGCUAGGUGAUUUCUCUAAUAGCCAACUGGGGUGUUUUUCAAGAGCUUGCAGCAACUUCAACUUGCACGCAUCAAUGAAGAAGCUUGGAAGGACGAUGAAGGUGAUGGAAAUGCUCUUUUCUAGUGAAAAUCCACAAUAUAAAAUAGGUAUAGUUUGUUAGGUUAAUCGAUGAAGAAGCUUGGAAGGACGAUGAAGGUGCUUGUGUCAUGGGCUUCAAGAAACAAGAGCAGGCUUCAGAUAUUAUAUAGUUGUGAAGAUUUAAUGGUAGGAUUACAAUGCCUAAUUAUUAAAAAUAAAAGAAUAAUUAAUUCUGACACUCUCAAGGUUUGAGCAACGCAUUUCAUUACCUGAUCAAAAGACUCCCAUCGAUCUCCCCAUCCCCAUAAAAAAAAAUAAAAAAAAAAUAGAACUCUUGCAAUAGGUGGAAAAUAUAAUUUCAAACCUUGAUAACAUUUUAACAUGGAAGCUGGAUGAAUACUCACUUUGCAUUUUUCAUUCUUAUCAAUUGUGGGUUAGCAAGUACCGAAGUCCUCCUAUCCCAAUUACAGGCUUACCAUGGCAAGAGGAGGUCCAGUUAGCCUACUUAUUCCUUCGGCUCUCUGAAUUAAUUAUCUUUGGGAUAAUGUACCUAAAAAUUCAAGUAAUUUCGUAACAAAGUUUAUAUAUAUGGGAUAAUUAAUUAAUCACUUAGUUUUAACAAUUCGAUUCAUUUUCUUUAGCUCUAAGGUGGCUAAUAGCUUAUGUGGGAAGCCAAAGUGGCUGAUAGAUGAGAAACCAAGGUGACUAAUAGUUAAUGUCUAAUAAGCCAAGAUGGCUGAUAAUAUCUAGUACUUGAUAAGUCAGAUAUGACUAGUAGUACGUACUUGAUACUUGUAUAAGGUUUUUCUAUGGUGGAUAGAUGACUCUCAGAUACUUAAGUAAAUAUUUUUAUUGAAAGAGAAUGGAAAAUAAAGAAUAAAGAGUGUGAAUCUAGAGCUUGAAGAUAUCUUUGUAGAGACAGUGUAAUGAUAUUUCAAAGAAACUCUGAAAAAUAUGUAUGCAUUGAAGAAAUGAAGAUUGUAAACCUAGAACUUAAAGGAUUCAUGAAGUAUUUAUAACUCUUGAAUUUUAUCAUUUUGUGGAUAGAAGGGGCUGAAGAGUCAUUUCACCCCUAUAAAUUAACAUGGUAUUUUGAGUUGUGUUCCAUUCAAUGUAAUAUGUAUUUGAUCAAUAUAAAAUAUAUAAAAAAAUCCUAGAAAAGUUUUUAAAAAAGUGCUAAGCUCAAGUGAGUUGUCUAAGCUUGGAGUAGAAAAUAAACCCAACGCAGUGCUUGAGCCUAAUGAUCCAGAGCCUAAUAUGUAUUGGAUCAUUAGGCUCAAGUGUGUACCAAAGCCCUUAAGGGUGCUGGGCAUAUAGCAUACCUAACAAGGCUAGGCGCGUGCCCAACAUAGACAUAGGUGGCAACUUGGGCUCAUAUUUUUAUAGGAGAGUAAUUUUUUUUUGGAUAUUUGAUAGUUUUUUUUUACCCGUUAAAUUUAGAUUCAUCACUUUGCUCAUUGCAGGGGUUGAUUUUUGAAAUCCCGGGUCAAAAAUUGCCAUAAUGAGUGGCUGCUCUCACUUUUGAUUAAUGUUCAUGACUAACCGUAUGAGCUUUGCUUUUUUUUACUUAUUUGAUUAGAUUUUGCCAGAUGCAAAAUUGCAAUUAUCGUACGUCAUUGGUGAAAAUGGAUUUGUAUGAUAAGUACUCCAAAGGUUUUCAAUACACUUUGAUGGGACAAACACGAAUCCCUCCCCUGUUACUCUCUCAGGCUUUUAACGGUUUGUUUUUAGUUUGAAAUUGUAUUUACGGAAUUGAAUUUUAAAGGUUUUAAUAUGUUGAUGUAAGAAAAUUUAUUUUAAUAUAUUUUUAAGAGAAAAUCAUUUUAAAAAGCAUUAUACACUUCAAUAUCAACACAAUUACAUGGUUCAACUUGUUUUUUAAAAUGCUUUUCGUUUGAAUUAUUUUUUUUAGAUGAUUUGUGAUAAUUUUAAUAUUUUGAUAUUAAAAUAAAAAAAUAAAAAAAUUAUUUUAAUAUAUUUUUAAUUAAAAAAUACUUUUAUAAAAUGCCCAGACCAAGAUCUUAGUUCGUCAAAUCAUAGUUCAAUUCAUUGAUUUAAUAGAUCAUAUAUAUAAUAUAAAAACAUUAUUAAAAAUUAAAAAAUUAAAAAAAAUAUUAUUUUAAUAUAUUUUAAUUGAAAACCACUCUUGAUAUAUUCUAAUUAAAAAAUAUUUUUACAAAAUAUCCAGACUUUUUAGUGUUUUUUUCCCUUCUAAUUUCUAAUUACAUACUUGUAAAACUCUGUCAAGAUCUUGGAUUGUCGAAUCAUAGUUCAAUUCAUUGAUUUAGUAGGUGAAUUAUAUAUAUAAUAAAAGUACGCUAAGACUUGAAAUCUUGAAUCCUAUUCUAAGCAAUUUUUAUUUUUAUUUUUAUGUAAAAAUCAAUCUUAAUCUUUUUAUAUUUUAUCAAAAAAAUCAUUUUAAUUUAAAAAUUUAAAUAAUUAAAGAAACUCUUAUUAUCUUUUAAUAAAUUUUAAUUAAACUAUACCGGGUUUGAUUUGGUAAUAAAGCUAGUUUGAUUGAAUGGAGAAGGCAAUGUCUUGAUCCAUCCAUAUGAGUUAUUUUCGAGUGGAAAAUGAAUAUAAAUAUUUUAAUUUGAGAAAAAAAUUUAUUAGAAAAUUCAAUACUUUUUGGCCAUGUAAAACUGUAUUUAUGUAGCAAUCUCAUCUUAAUGCAUAUCGAUGCAAUUAAGACUACAACGGAAAGUGUAAAUUACUCUUGAAUGAGAUAAAUAUAUAUGUGAAAAGGCAGCCAAGCGGGUGCAUAUUUAAAUAACUUGUCAGUGUGGUAGCGGUUGCUUUUUAAAUAAUUUUUUGUGUCGAAAUACAUGCCAAUGAUUUUUUUUAAAAAAAUCAUUUUUGACAUCAGCACAUCAAAACAAUCCAAAACAUACAAACCAUAUUAAAUUUUAACAAAAAAAAAAAAUUUUAUAUUUUUUGAAAAACAUGUUCUUAAUCUAGCUACCUCAGCUUUACAUGGUCACUCUCUUCCAAACCUUCACCAAAAGCCCCCCUUUGCCUCUCAGUUUGUAUAAUAAGAAGCACUUAAAUGCCCACUAAUUAACCAAGCUUAAAUAUUAUAGUGGCAGAUGCAUUAGUUAAUGGCAGAAAGAUUAUCCUAGAAUAUAUCCUAACUUUAAUUGAAAUAAAAUGAAAAACAGAAGGAAAAUUGUAAAAUCUGUGAGCAAGAUUUACCUCCUAAAUGCUACAGGAACAAUUCCAGCACGGUAUUGAGCAAUUUGCAAGAAAGCAGGCACAGCCAUAUCAAAGUGUUGGAGAGGAGGAUUGCACCAUCCACCAUUGUUGUUAGGCAAAGCAGGGUUAGGAGGGCAAAAAUUUGUAGCAGGGAGACACCAUUAAUCGAUCGAACGAAUUAAUUAAGCUCCUUGAUGGCAUCUGAAUAUGGCAUAUCAACUUGGAGUCUUGAAACAAACUGUACUAAAUAUAGUUGGAAGUGGUGAUUGGUCAAGUGAUGUAUAUAUGUUAGUUGGAAUUUAUGAACUCUCUUAAUUAUAUGAUGUUAAAGGCAACAAAUUAAAAUCCCAUUUGAAAAAAAAGAGAGAAGAUGCAUGUGUUAGAUUUUGGGUUUGAUUUAUUUGAUAGUUAGACUGCUUAAUACAAGCUUAAUAUAUAUAUAUAUAUAUAUAUAUAUAUAUAUAUAUAUAUAUAUAUAGAGGAAUGCACAACAAAAACAAUAUUCAAUAGUCUUUUUAUUUUUAAUAAUCAUCAAAAGUAUAUUGAAAAUAUCAUAAAGCUAAUAGCUAAGGCAAUAAACAAGAAUAAGAUCAAAUAAGAGGAAAAAAAAAUACUUGAAGAAAAAAAAAUACAGAAAAAAGAAAAAAAAACAAUAUUCAAUAGUGAUUCUAUUUGAUAUGAAUUAAUUGCUUAAUUAAUUUUUUUUUUCUAAACAUCUCUCUUUCACCCUUUUGGUCCUGGCUAGACAAAGAGAAUGACCCUCUGCUUCCUCAGCCACCAUUGUUCCUUAGCCUCUAUUCAAUAUCCUUAUUAAGACUGUGAGAUCAAAUGACACAAUGUUUAUUGACAAGUGCUCAAUCAUGUGCCCUCACAAAGUUUUUGCCCAUAAAUGUAUUGAAAUCAUGGAUUUUCCACUGAUAUGUACAUUGUUUUCAAGAACAUUGUACAUCAUACACCCACAGCUUAUUUAGGAAGAAAUGAUACAAGAACAACAAGCAAAAAUGACGCAAACAGCAAUCUUCCCCCUCCAUUUUUUAACUUAUCACAGCUUCUCUGUAGCUACCAAUCUCAUGGACUAGACCUUCAUGAUCUAGUUGUCCUCUCAACAAGUCACUCAAUUGGACUUGCUUGGUGAGUCACUUUCUGCUAUCGAAUUUACAAUGAAACUGAUACAUACACCAACUUUGCUACCUCCUUGAGCUCAUGUUGCCCACGAAGUGGAGGAGACGAUGUUAGGAAACCAUUUGAUUCAACUUCAACAAGUUUCGAUACGAAAUAUUUUGUGGAUUUGGUGAAUAAAAUGGGAAAUAUGAUGUCUCUCAUUGGCAAUGGAGAGAUCAGAAUGAAUUGCAGAGUGGUGAAUCCUUCUUAAAAUUUACACGCAUUUGUUUUUCGGGACUGGCAAUGGAAAAUGUUCACUUCUACAUGCUUUCUGUAUUGAAUUAAUCUUUGUUUAUGCACGUAAUCCCAUUGGCAUGAAAUGGAAAGGGUAACAUUGUUAUUUGGUAACCAAGAAAAUAAAGAAAAAAAUUAUUAUCAUCAUGGAUAACAAAGCACAUGAUCAAGAUGAGAAAUAUGAAGCCACUUACUGGAACUGAUGGGGAGAUCAUAAUGAAUUGUAGAAAGGACUAUGGGUUUUAAUCUUGCUCUUUCUACAUUCAAAACCGAAACAAGGAGCACAGUUUUGUCAAAUUUGAAAAUAUAGCAUGAUCAUUUCUUAAUUAAUUGUUGUUUCACUUAUCUUUCAUAACAGGUAUUUUUUGACAUUCUUUAAAAAAAAAAAAAAAAAAAGCCAACCCAUGAACAUAGUCUACAUCAAAUUACAGAAUUUAUUGCUCAAAUCUAUAGUUGAAGAGAAGAAGUUAAACCCCACAAAAAACUGGUCAGUCGACCACACUAACUGUAUGUAAGAACAGAUCUUCCAAACUGAUUGUGUAAAAUUCCUUUGGCAGAGAAGGCCACUGAGUCACAAGCUCCGAAGAAAUUCUUCCCAUUGUAGGUCGGGAUUGCGGAUUGGGAUGCAAGCAUGCAAGUGCUAUCUUCAUGAUAUGGACAACACCCUCUACUGCUCCUUUUUUAGGAAGCGAGAUGCGUUGGUCAAGCACAUCCUUCAACAAUGUCUGUUGAGAAAUCGGUGGCUUCGAAGAUGAUGAGGAAGAUGCUUGUGAUGAGAUUGUGGAGAUGAGAUCGCCUGGGUGCCUUCCCAUCAUCACUUCCAUUGUUACCACUCCGAAGCUAUAGACAUCACAUUUUUCAGUCACUUUCAUCGUGUAAGCUAGCUCUGCCAAAAAAAAUGGUUAUGCUGUGUAUUUAUUACAUAGUUGAUAGAAAUAAAAUUGAAAAAAAAAAUUACUUAAGUAUUUAUAAUAUAAGCUAAAAACAUACUAUUAUAGGAAGUAGGAACUUAAUGUUGAAGUAAAGCUACGCACCUGGAGCAGUAUAUCCAAAAGUACCUGCAAAUGAGGUCCAAUUGGAUGAGUCAGGCAUCAACAGUCUAGCUGUGCCAAAGUCAGAGACAUGUGCCUCAUAUUCCAAAUCCAGAAGGACAUUAUUGCUGGUAAUGUCUCGAUGAAUGAUCGGAGGAGAGCAAGAAUGGUGUAGAUAGGAUAAAGCUCCAGCCAUCCCUUUCACAACAUUUAGCCUUUUCAUCCAAUCCAGCUCAAUUGCUUGUUCCUCACUGGUUAUGAUCUUUCUCAAGCUUCCUCUUUCUAUGAACUCAUAAACCAAAAAAGAGUGCUUUGCAUGUGAGCAAAAUCCAUACAGCUUCACGAUAUUUCGAUGUCGAAUAUUUGCCAAAACACAAACUUCCGUUUCAAAAGCUUUAAAAUCGGACAACUUGUCUGUUUGUGACCGGUGAAGUUUCUUCACAGCAACCACCUGUUCUGCUGGCAUCACUGCUUUAUAAACAGUUCCAUAUCCUCCUUCACCAAUGCAGUAGUUGGAAUUGAAUUCCUCGGUAGCUGCAAUGAUAUUCUCAUACAACAACUUCCCAUCAUGGCCCAAUAUCGUGAAUAAGUUUCGAUCUUGUUCAAUAUUCCCUGGCUCAGCUUUUCUCUUCCUAGCUCUUUGGCGGAGAAUGAAUAAAGCUCCAAUCACAACAAGCACUAAUAGUAAGCUUCCUAAAAGAGGGAGUACAAUCAAAAUAACAAGUUUGUUGCUCUUUCUCUUAACAGUUCUGCUGCUUUUUGGAAGAUUGCAUGGCUUUAGACCACUGGCGUUGCCACAUAUACCCAUAUUAUCCCUUAAUGCCUCAAAUGAAGCGUUGUGGAAGGCUUUGGUAUCGGGAAUAGGGCCAUGUAGCUCAUUGUAUGAUAUAUCCACAACUGUCAAGCUUAAUAGAUCUUUGAAAGUGCGCGGAAUCAAUCCAGAAAGCAUGUUGUGAGAGACAUUCAGAGUUUCCAACAUUUGCAGUUGCCCAAGUUGCCACGGUAUCUCUUGAGCUAAGAAAUUGCAACUAAGAUCAAGAUCUUGAAGAGAACGCAGAAAGCCCAUCUCCUGUGGAAUGCUAUUUGUAAAUUUAUUAUUACUGAGGUUCAGCAACAAUAAAUUUGAGCACUCCCCAAGUUGUUUUGGAAUCGAUCCACUUAGAUUAUUAGAUGCUAAAUCAAGGAUUUUGAGGGAAGAAAGCAUCUUGAUGUCUGAGGGAAUGGCACCUGAAAGAUGGUUGUUGCUAAGAGUAAGGUUGUACAACAGCUUCAACCCCCCUAAUUCUUUUGGGAUGGUUCCUUCUAAGUGAUUUGAGGACAGAUCAAUCAAUUGUAAUUGAGUAGCCUUCCCGAGCUCUGUUGGUAUCUCCCCAGAAACAUUAUUGUUUGAGAUUUUCAAGCUCGUUAUGUUACGAUAAUCUCCCCAUUUCAAAGAAAGCUCGCCAUAAAAAUUAUUGUAACUCAAAUCAACAUAAUUCAAAUGUGGAUAGAUGCCAAAAUCCUCAGAAAUAUUUCCUGUCAAUUGAUUCCUAUCAAGUCUUAGUCGGUGUAAACCGGUACAGUUUUUCAAGCUUUUCGGGAUGGAACCGGAGAAAUAGUUGUUACAAGCAAUAAAUCUUUCAAGUACUUCUCCAUGGCAUAGCUCUUGUGGCAAAUGACCCGUGAAUUCAUUGUAAGACAAAUCCAAAAACUUCAAAUGGGUAAGAUUGUUCAUCUUUAGGGGCAAUGAUCCGCGAAGUUUGUUCUCACCGAAGGUCAAUUUCUCUAGAGAUUUAAGCUUUCCUAUUUCUGAAGGAACAUAUCCAUAUAAAUUAUUUUCACCUAGAUAGAGAAAGGAUAGGUUUUUUAAAUUUCCAAUAGAGGAGGGGAUCAAACCAUUGAGAUUGUUUUCAUCUAGUUCUAUAUCAACGAGCAUGCUCAUGUUCCCAAUAAAAGAAGGUAUAGGACCAGAUAGUUGGUUUUGAUAAAGGGAGAGAAAAGAUAGAUUUGUCAAGUUUUUAAUUGAAUUAGGGAUUUCACCGGUUAAAAUAUUACUUGAAAAGUCAAGAUCAUAGAGAGAUUCUAGCAAUCCAAUGUCUUUAGGAAUGGAACCAGAGAGUUUGUUACGCCAAAGAUAGAAUAUUGAUAGGUUCCUCAAAUUUCCAACAGAGGAGGGGAUUGAACCAAUGAGAUUAUUUUGUCCGAGCUCUACAUCAAUGAGCAUAAUCAUAUUCCCAAUAGAGGUAGGAAUGGGACCAGAGAGUUGAUUUUGAAAAAGGUGGAAAAAUGAUAAGUUCGUUAAGUUUCCUAUUGAAUUAGGGAUUGCACCGGUUAAAUUAUUACUUGAAAAGUCAAGAUCAUUGAGUGAUUCUAGCAACCCAAUUUCUCCAGGAAUGGAACCAGAGAGUUUAUUACCCCAAAGAUAGAGUAUCGAUAGACUCCUCAAAUUUCCAACAGAGGAGGGGAUAAAACCAGUGAGAUUAUUUUGUUGUAGUUGUAGAUCAAUGAGAAAGCUCAUGUUCCCGAUAGAAGAAGGGAUGGGACCAGAGAGCUGGUUUUGAAAGAGGUGAAGCAAGGAUAAGUUUGUCAAGUUUCCAAUAGAGAAGGGGAUCACACCAGUGAGAUUAUUUGCAGAUAAUGAAAGAAGGGAAAGAGACGUCAACUUUCCAAUUUCACAUGGGAUGGAGCCACUAAGAAUAUUUCCACACAGAUACAAGAUGUUGAGACUUUUCAUUAAGCCUAUCUUAGAUGGGAUGCUUCCCGUGAGAUUAUUAUCACAUAAAUUGAGCUCAGUAAUCUUGGGUAGAUUAUCAAUGCCUGAUGGAACGGUUCCAUGAAUUGAAUUCCUCUGGAGAUUGAGAGAGAAAAGAUUGGGGAAGGAUGAGAAGUUGAGAUCAUAAAGCGUACCUCUCAAGCCAAAGUGUGGAAGGCUCAAGUUGGUGACGCUUCCAGAACUGUCGCAAGUGAUUCCAGUCCAGUUAAUGCAAGGGCUGAUGCCGAACCAAGAAGAAAGAAGAGAUUGGCUUUGGUUGUCAAGACUUGCCUUCCAUUUAAGAAGAGCCUCAGCUUCUGUAUUAUUACCUCCAGCAACUUUGGAAUUGGCAGCACUUAUAGCCGUACCAAAUAUUGAAGUUUUAGAGGAAGUGUGAUCAGCAAGAACAAAGAAAGAAGAGUAGUAGAACAUGUGAAGGAGCAAAAACAGGACGUGGAGAAAGAUUGAGAAGAAUGGUUUGUGUAGCAGGGACGUCAUGGUUGUGUGUUUUUUCAAGAGAUAAUAAUAAAGUAAUGGUAGGCUCCUUCAUUUAUAGGAUGGAAAACAUGAUUGGAAUCUUCUUCUUAAUUUCAUUCGAAUAUUACAAAUCUGAAAUUAAUUACCAAUUCAUCAAUAAUUUCUUCUCCCUUUCCGAAAUCAAAUCAUAGGAUGCGACAAUAUUAUUGUGGGCUCGCUUUACUAAUGUGCAAGUCCUAUGGACUUACACAUUGUUGACUUCCUUUGUGUUAAGCACACUUUUUUGAGAAAUUAUAGUGUUACAGUUUUAGGAUUUUUAUUUAUCGAGAUUAAACUUAAACAAAAAAUGCUCAUCGAAUAUAUAUAUUAACUAGCCAUAAAAAAACCCAGUUAAUUCUAUUAUAAAUAAUAAAGAAUAUUUCAAACAGUUUUUAUUUCAUAUUAAAAAAAUAAAAUAUUUAUCUAAUAUAGUAAAUUUUGAUAUGGAAUAGUAACAGGCAAGGAAAGCAUAGUGGGCUCACGGGCAGAACGUUGAGCCGAGCAAGAGGAAAACCUUUGAUUGUCCCCCUACACGCGCGAGACAACGCCUAUACUUUUUGAACCUUUUAUCUCCAACAUUAAUUUGUUUUUGGCCUUUAAACUAUUUUUUAAACACUUGAAAUUAGUUUUUUAACAGUCACAAAAUCCUAACAACUUUUUUAUUUUAAAAACUUUUUAACAGCCACAACUCUUUAAUUCCCUAACAGUUCUUUUAUUUUUUUUUAACUAUUAUAACAGCUCUUUAAUUUUUUAAUUUUUUUUUUGUUUAGCUGUAACAUGUUAGCUGUCUAUAUAUAUAUAUGCACUCUUACAAUCAAAGUAUACUUAAAAAAUUAUAAUAUUAUUUUUCUAUGUUCGAAAAGUUUGUUGGUAUUUCUUUUUGAUCUUGGUUUAUUGUUUCUGUAACUCUCAUUUUAGAGGAGGAACUUGUUGAAUUCUGGAGAAUAGCCUUAUGUUGAGAAAAUAUACUUAAAAGACAGUUUCUAUACACGUCUCAAAUUAUAUUUUAUUUUUGUUCUUCUUUGUAUUUUAGUAAUAUAGAUGAAAACACUACUGCUACCAGGACUGCUCUCCUCAACAAUGUUGUUGUUGAGAACUCUGUUAUUGUCAUCUUUAUUGUUGCUAACUCUGCUGCUGCUGCUACUGUUUCAUUAGCUAAGGGACCAUGAUAAGUGAAUUGAAUUGUUCAAUAAAACUAUGAAUGCUCUCGUUCUCGACACAGUUAAAUACGCUAGUCUACUUGACGCUAUCGUGCUCAAGGGGAUAAUGGAGGGCUACCAAAUAUUCCACUCCACUAAAUACAUAAUGGAGGGCCAACGUUGUCAAAUUCAAGAAAUUGGGGAGACCAUGGAAACAAGUAAAACGAAGGAUGGUUCCUCGUAUCACAAUUGUUUUUCAUGGCACGGUCAUUUUUGGCACUCAGUGGACGUGGGCUAAGACUCUUGUGAAAUUGAGGGGGGAAAAUAUAUUGUCGAAAAUUAUUUUAUAAAGAUAGCAUAAUUCAUGUGCGUGCGAUUUAAAGAAUGUAGAACAUGUCUGAUGAGUCUGCACUCUCAUGAACUUGAUUUGUUGUUGAGCAAUAAAGCUUGCUUGCACAAGGAAUGGCACCUGAAAGAUGUGGGUCAAGCUGACUGCAAGGACUGAGAGGGUUUAGGCCAAGUGGGGUCAGUAAUGCAGCGAGCAAGUCUGAGGUUUGAACACUUUGUCAAUCUCUUAUUGGCCAAGUAUUUUCACGAGCUAUGUAAUGUUAGAAAGGAGGGUAAAAAGCUGGUCUCAAUUGGGAGUCUUUCCUCCCACCUAGUCUAACAUUUAAACAACCAUGCCGGGAUUUGCUUUCAAAGGGGUUGAAUGUGCAAAUAUGAAAGGCUUUUUCAUGUGUUGGGAAUUGGAACUUGGUUCCAGUGUGGUGAGCUGUAUGCAUAUAAAGUGGGUCUUGUUCUUGUUGCUUCAACUACGAACAAGAGUAAAGUUUAGGUUAGGGCUUAGAGGGCCGUUGUUUGGCUAACGUUCUCCAAUGCAAAGGCUGGUUUAAGUCUGUACUUCGAAUUGAAUUCGGAGAGUUCUUUGUCCGUUGGUUCUCUUCCGGUCCCCUACGGUUCAUUGCAAUCUUCUGCUGAAUUUCCUUUCUCAUUUGUCGAUUGCUAUCGUACUGCACUAUGCAGUCAUUAAUUACUAUAAGCAUAAUUACGAAUUUACGAUACCUCCUGAACUUCGACCGAUUUGAUUUAGAUCCUUGUUCUUUCAAACAUUGAAUUUACACCCCUUGAACUCUUAAUUUGUUAAAUUAGAUGCCUUUUAACACAUUACGAGAGAGUUGUCUUAGUUUGUUCAUGAUCAAGUCACGACUCGUAACUUCAUUCACCAGGGGAGCCUUGCUAGAAAUUAACUUCAUGUAACAAACGUCAGGUUGAUGAUUCAUACAUCUGCAGAUCUGCAUAAAAUUUUUGAACUAGUAAAUGAUGGGUAUUCAAGGUUUUAACACCAUAUCAAAGAACCAAUUCAAUUCAAAAACUUAAAUUAUUAAGUGAGUUUUUAUAAUUUAUAUUAUUAAUUAUACUAAAACCUUAAACAUUUCAUCAUAAAAUAAAACACAAAGAAUUUAUAAUUAUAGCUUACAAAAUAAGAUUUUCAUCGAUCACAAUCAUAAUAUCAUCAUAAAUGUAAAUUAACUCCUGUUUCUCUGGUGCUUGACACUGUUGAAAUUUCCAAAUCAUCUUUGCUUCCCCUUUCCAAAUUAUUGUCGGUAAGUCCAACGUUCACACUCUAUCUUGCUUAAGGGGCUGAAUAGUGUAGACGGGUCAAUGGGGAUGGAAAAAUUGUAACGCUGUGGAUGUGGAUUUGUCGGCAAUAUUUGAUAUUGAUAUUGUGUUAAAAAAAUUUAAAAUUUUUUAUUUUUUUAAUUAAUAUUUUUUUAAUAUUAUCAGAUCAUUUUGAUGUGUUAAUAUCAAAAAUAAUUUUUUAAAAAUAAAAAAAAUAUUAUUUUAAUAUAUUUUAAAAUAAAAAAUACUUUAAAAAAUAAUCAUUUUCAUUUUUUAAAUUGAUAUUUUUUUUAUAAUUUCUUCCAAAUCAUUGCAUGCGACAGUAUAGUGGGCUCGCCUUACUAAUGUGUGGACUUUCUUGAUCUUAAACAUAAUUUCAUCAGAAAUUAUACUAUUACAAUUUCUUAUGAGAUUGAUUUUAUUUUUAAACAUGUUUUUUAUUUAUCAAAAUUUAAACUUAAACAUUUAUGGUUAUCACAAUUUUAAAAGGAUUGCUCAAUUAAAGAGGAAUUAUUAGGUAUUUUGCAUACCUUAUGAUUAUGCCUUUUAGGUAUUUUUUAAUUGCUUGAUCGAAGUCAUCACAAUAUAUAGUGUGGACAUCAGCUAAUUAGGCUAAACACCGUGGAAGGAAUUUUUUUUUGCAAAGUUUGAUUAUUUGAUUACCUAAUUGUUGACAAAUGGGUUCUAAUUCAUGCAGCUGCAGACUCCUUCCUUUUUUAUCCUCAAAUUCGGCUAGAACAUUCACAAUCAAUGGCAUGAUCUAUCAUACGCUCCUUGAGUUUCUGCUAACCCUUUUGUUUUCCAAAAUGUCCGAAUGUAUACUACACUCAUUAUUCAUUACUGCUUUAAUGGAGGAAAUUCUGAGUUUCCAUGCAUGAGUCAGUCCAGCAAUGAUCGAGUUUCACGUACGGCAAUGCUAAGAAUAACAGUAGCUGUCUAGCUAGGAAGAUUGCGAUAUCAUUUUUCAUUGGCCAAUCAAUGGCAAGUCUGUGCAUUUCUGAUUUUGUUUUUCAUGUAUCUGCAUACAGGAACAAGUAUUGAUCAAAAGCAUUCUGAAACCUUUCCUAAUCUUUAUCUGAGAAAGAGGUUUGUCUUCUUUGCGCUUGUUGGCUAACCUAAUUCUCUGGAAGAAAUUGAGAAUCUUUCUUUCAAGUUGCGUUUUAUUUGUGACAUUGAUGAGAACGUCCUGUAUAGCUUGUUGAAUUAUUGAAAAUUCUUGCAAGCUUAAUUAUUGGUCAAUGUAGUACUAAUUUCUCUCAAACUCUUAAAGCAAUACUCUGGAUCGAGUUGUGUUGUUGGAAGAAUCACAAGCGUUACAAAAAUAAACAGGUCAAUCACUUCUAAAUUUCUGAAGCAAGCAUUGAAAUUGAAAUUGAAGAAUUUCUGGAAUGGAUGAAGAUAAUGGAAUUUGAUUGCAAGAUUCAUUUGUAAAUGAGAAGGGAAUUGAAUUGGAGAAUAGAGCUUAAUUUAUCUGCUUUUAUGACACAAAAUAUCAAUCAAAUUGAUCAGUGACUAACGCUAGUCAAGCUAUGAAUACUACAAUUCUUUUCUAUUCUCUCCUUUUAGUUUCAGAUGUUCUCAAUCUCUAAUUCGUUAUGUCUGUGUUGGAACUGUAUCGAAAUGCGUGAUUAAACCCCAUUUCCUGCGGUGUUAGUCUAUCCUUUUUGUCCAUCAAUACUACAAUUAAUGCAAACUCUUGUGUCUGACUACAAAAGCACACGCACCUUACUGCUAGUUGUGCACUAGUACUGCAAUUUCACUUAAAGUUUCUGAGCUUAAUACCUAUGGCUGCUCUUCGAUCCUUGUUAUUGUAUUUUUCAGCAGCUGCUGCUAUUUUGAACCCUUCACAUGUCGCUUUGCUCCUUGACUACCUAUACUUACAGUGCCCUAAGAUUAAACAUAUUGUGUCCGAGGGUCAAAGUAAGUUCAGUAUUUAAUUGCUCGAGACUCCUUGAAGAAAGCAAAUAUCCAAAAUCACUAGUAACACGCUAUCGUGCUCAAGGAGAUAAUGGAGGAUUACCAAAUAUUCCACUCCACUGAAAGAUAAUGGAGGGCCAACGUUAUCAGAUUCAAGAAAUCGGCGAGACUAGGGAAACAAGUAAAACAAGGAUGGUCCCUCGUAUCACAAGGAAUGUCGGCUGAGACUCCUGUGAAAUUGAGAGGAAAAAGUAUAUCGAUCGUGGGAAAUUGAGAGAUUCUAUCUAGUAAUUAAAAAAAAAAAAGUAUAUCGUGGGAAACUAAGAAUUUCUAUCUAGUAAUUAAAGAAAUCUAUAAAUUCUAAAAUGUGUACUGGUUCUAGAUAUUUAAUUAAAGAGUUUGUUAUGUACAUGAGAAUAACGAUAUCAUCUUUACUAUAUUUUUUUUUACGGAAUAUUAUUUUUACUAUGUGUUUUUUUUUCAAUUUAUCUUUUUUUAUUGCUCUUAAUUAUCCUUAUUGUUUUUAAUUUAUAUUUUUUAUUUUUAAUUUCUAAUAUUUUUUUAAAAAUUUGAUGUCGGUUUUUAAACAUGUCAGAAAAUGACAUCGGUCUCUAAAAAUAAAAAAAAACUCUUCAAAGAUAUUGAUGUUAAAUUCUAAAAAAAGGUUUCAUCAAAAUUGAUAAAAAUAUUAUUUGAAUUUAAAUCUAGACAUACAUUCUUUUUUUUUUUUUAAAGAGAGAGAAAAUAGUGUUUAUCCUUCAAAGAAGAAAUUUCAUCAAUGUUGUUAAAAGAAUGGGUGUUGAAUCUACUAUGAUAAGAAUUGUGCUUUAAACCAAGUAGAAAAAAUGAGUUUGGGCCUUUUUGUUAAAAACAAUUCUUGGAAAUUGUUGAAUUUUAUCAUUGUUUUUUUUUUUUUGUUCUUUUAGAAAAGAAACAUGAGUUUUUAUAUAUAUUUUUUUGUUAUAUGGUUUCAAUAGGCUAGUUUAUUAGACCAAAGUCUUAAUAGAUUUAAUAUAAUUAUUAUUAAGUUCAAAUAUUUUUUAAAAAUAAAAAAACUUGGCCACAAUGCACAAUAUAUACUUGACCCAAGCCCAUUAAACCCAGAUUAAUAAAGCUAUAGCCCGAUAUUCAUUAAAGAAAAUCCAAGCCUACAGUCCAUCACGCAGCCCACGGACCGUGAUGAAUAAACCUAAGGAAACUAAAUCCAGCCCAUUUGCUACAACCCACAUAAGCCUUAUCCAAGAAACAAAAUGGGCCAAAUCCAGAAUAUCCCCUAACCCAAUGAAAAAAAACACGGGCUUGUCAAAGAACCCAAAAUCCUAAAAAAAAAAAACAAAAGCAAAGGCUUAUGUUUUUGGAUCCAUGAACAGCUUGUAAAACUGGUGUUAAUAUUGUAAAGAUUAAGAGCGAGUCAGAGAUUGUGGUUAUAGUUGCCAACUAAUUGUUAUUAUUGCAACAAAUGUAAAUAUAAUCUAUAUAUAUAUAUGAACUGAUGAAAUGGAUAUGGUUGAUCAUGAAGACCAAUAUUUCAUUUUCAUUAUUGAAUCAUUAUAGUAGCAAUAAGCCUAGUGUACUCGGUAAACAUUAUUAGAUACCCCAUCAAUCCAAUAUUUUCAUCCAAACACUCAUAGAAAAGUUACAAUAUAUAAAAAAGUGCUCUAUCAGAAGCAAAAGACAUACAAAGCUUGAGUAGCGGCCAAAAAAUCUAGUGAUGAAGACAAGCUCUAAUACUAACUUUGUCCUCAACUACUAAUUAAAGAAACACCUGAACUUUCAGAGGAGCCCUUUUAAUCUAGAUAUUAGCUUUAAAAACUGUAUCAUUAGCUAAAAAGAUACUAUCAAUUAGGAUGUAAGAGAACUUAACUGAGAAGCUUUUAUCAGAAUUAUACGGUCAUAAGCAAAAUAAUAGUUUUAUCUUAAAUUUCUUGAAUUAAUUUAAUUUAAUAACUGUGAAUAUUCACGUAAUUUGGAAAAUACGAGUGUCAGACAUAUUUUAGAUGUACGCGUCUCUUAGAAUUGAUGUCAUGUUCAACCCACCAACUAUAGAAAAAAGAAAGCAGAAGCUAGAAACAAAGCAAAACAGAAUAUAGCAUAAUUUUCUUUGUUAUUAUUUGUUUAUGCUUCACAUAUGGUAAAACAUACAUAUAUUAUAAUGCCAACUAUCCAACUACUCCAGCAUGAUUAUUGACUCAUUGAUAUGAAUUAGUGACUUAAUAGUUUGACUAAAUCAGUGAUUGGAUCAGGUUUAAAAAUAUCUAUUGAUAGAAUUGAUUGGAAGAUUUUUAAAGAAGACUAUAAACAACUAAUAAUAAUAAUAAAAAAAAAAAGACUCAUUCUCUCCCCCUUCGCAUGCUGAUACAGGCUACAUUAGGAAUUAUUUGGAAAACCCUUGGAUUGGUUUCCAAAUUAUCCACCAAUUCCCAACUGGGAUCUAACAAAUUAAACGAAACAAAAUCAUUUCAAUUGAAUUUUGAAAGUUUUCGAAAUCCCGAGUAAAGAACAUUAUAGAAAGCAAAAUCAUUCAAUGACUUUAAAUCAUCGUUUCACAAUUUUCGUUGCCCAGUAAGUAAUCUAUGACAAACAAGUGAGUAAGUAUUCAUUUUAUCGUGAUUCAAUUAUAGAAAACAAAUCAUAUUUAAUUGAAGCAAUGUUCACUCAAGGAAGACGCAAGAAUGUAUGCCAAUUGUCAUGUAAAUAUAAUCUAUAUAUAUGAAUUGAUGAAAUGGAUAUGGUUGAUCAUGAAGACCAAUAUUUCACUUUAUUAUUGAAACAUAUAAGUUGAAGCAAGCUCACCCCAGCCCAGCCUAUCCCAUGCAGCAUACCAUCCUGCUAACCCCCCCAAGGCAUCUACUACUACUAGCUAGAACAGAUCAAAGCUUUUGAAAGACCACUCGAAAAGAAGAAAACACAGCAAGGUCGAUGAAGAGAAGAAGAAAAGAGGGUCUGCUGCCGGUGAAGAAGUCACUGGAAACAACCAUAUUGGAGGCUUAGGAUCGAUAUAUCUUCUACCGCUUGCGCAAGCCCCUAAAAUAAGCAGAAGGACUUGCUUCAAAAUUUCUCCUUGGUAUGCGAGAGUUCCUCCCUGGCGCUUUCAUUGUUUUAACACUCUUGGCAGAACCUCCACAGCAACCACGAAACAGGAGUAGUAUCACUACCACUACCACUGCAACCAUUAUAGGAACGUUUUCUUUCUUAAACCAUCGGAGGACAUAUACCACUGUUUCGGGAGCGAGAAAUUUCUUUAUUUGAUCAGAAAGCUUGUGGGUUAAAUCAGACACUGCAUCGGAAGCUAUAAAUUUCUUAGUUAGAUCAAAAGGCGAACGAAUGUAUUCAGACACAGCAUCAGAAACCAGAAAUUUCUUUAUUAGAGAAUAAAGGUUAUUGAUAUUUGUGGAAAGAAAAGUUGGUAGUUCCAUUGCUUAGGGGGUAGACUGCGAUUUGUAUAGAAAUAAAUGGGGAGGAGAGUUUAUGGGUAAGGAAGAGAAUCAAGAGGAAGAAAGAAACGAAGAGGGUAAUGACAUAUGAGAAGGGAACACACAAUUAAUGGUGUCUUUUAUCAAGUGAAAAUGAAAGAAAAAAAACGAGGAGGGUAAUGACUUGAGGAUGGACUAGGAAAAGUAUUGAGUGACUGUGAUGUUUUGUUUUUGUUUUUUUUUUUAAAAUUGAUUAUUUAAGUAAUCUAUCACAAACAAGUGAGUACAGUAUUUAUUUUAUCGUGAUUCAAUUAUAGAAAACAAUAGUAUUUAAUCGAAGUAAUGAUCCCUUAAGGAAGAUGCAGAGCAUCUGUGUCAAUUGUCAUCUACCCGCUCACCACCAACUUUUCUUUGAGGUUUAACUAAAGAAAAGAAACUUAGUAAUGGUGAUCAUGAGACCGCUCUAAGUUUUUUAUUAUUAUUCCUUUCGAUUUAUUAAAGAUGGUAAUGGAAGAGGAAGGAAACUAAACAUAUCACACUAAUAAUAAUGGCAAAAAUGAUCGAUGGGCAUCACAAAUUCAAUUAACGAAACUUACACGUGAAAACAACUUAAUGAGAAAUCAUUACGACGUUGAAUACUGCUCUUGUCAUAUUCAGGAUGGAAGCAUAUUUCAUAUGUAUCAUAAGAUAAGUUGUAUUGUUAUUUGUUUUUUUUAUUUAAAAUUGAGUAUUUUCUAUUCGUUUAUCUUUUCUAAGGUUCAAGGUAGAUUUCUUUUUAUAAAAAAAUCUCUACCUUAUCGGGUUAAAUCCUAACCAUUUUAAAGUCUGAAUUUUAAUUAAUAUCGUAUUUUUACACCUUCCAUCUUUAAUACUCCAGGGUGUACUUUAUCGUAUAAUUUUACACCCCAUGAAUAUUAAAGUUUACAUCUUGACCCUAAAAAAAUUGGUGAAAGGAUUUUUGAUAUUGUGGUCAAAUCCUAAUGGAUAAUCAUAAACUGGUUACAAUAUCUAUUUUGCAUUUUAAAACAUGAACAAGAUGCAAUUUUUUUUUCUUUUUAAGAAAAUUUGCUUGAAAAAUUUUAGGAUUUGACCAUAUGCAUGAAAAAAAAAUAUUGGAAAUUUGUCGUUUUUAUUUUCAUAUAUAAUAUAUAAUAUUAUAUAUAUUAAUUAAGUAUUAUUAAAACAUGUGGGCUGGGCCAAGCUCAGUACCAGAAAAGGUGGGCUAAUACCGGCCUCACAAAUUUUUUUUUUUUGGGUGGCCGGGCCGGACCCAGCCUAGACACUUGGGCUGGGCCACCACUGGCCCGACCCAAAGUCAAUGUUAAUUAUUUACAAAACGUGAUAGUAGUUGACGUUCUGCAUGCAACCAAAUUGGUUGCAGAAAAUGGAGGUUGACGGAGGAUUGGCUCACUCGAAGGAGUCUCGGCCAUGAUCAAGAGGCUUAACUAGUGGUUCUGGCGGCAUUGCUGCGAGGAACGAUGACCUGAGUUGUUCACAGGGAGAAGAGGAAGACUUCUGCAGAAGUGAGAGAAAGGAAGAAAAGGUGGUUGUUUCAGGCAUGGGGGUGGCUGGGUGGUGGUUAAGCUAGCUACCUGUGGUGGAGCUGGUGGUGGCUCUGGUUGGUAGCUGGAACGGCAAAGAGAAAGAGGGAGAUAAAAAAAUUUGCAGAAACAGGGGGUAGAGGGGUUGGUUUUGGCCGACUUUGAACCUGAUUUUUUUCCUGCUCAGGCCAUGAAAUCCACCCCUAUUUAUAGGGGGUGGAAGAUGUAUUCUUGUCUGCACAGGGAAAAAAUUUCAGCCCUUGAUUCUAUUGGUAAGGAUUCUAACCAUUGGUUCAAAGUAAGCACCAUGAACUGUCAAAUCUAACAAUUCAAGGCUGUCUGAGUUCGCUAUUUUAGGCUAGUGCCGAGGUCGUUUUGAUGAUAAUAUGCCUAAAUGGACCAUACUCGGGGAUAAAGGGAUGUCAGGUGACUAUUUUGGUUCCUGUGUUGUCUAUUUUUGUGGACAUAUGAGGCAUUAAAUGCACUUGAAAAGUAACCACUCAAGCAACAUUCUCGGGCAAAAUCGAGGAAGAAAAUAAACAGUGACAAGACGACACGUCAUCUAGCUCUCUCUCUCUCUCUCUCUCUCUCUCUCUCUCUUAUUUUUUUAAAUGCAAAAAGGGUUUCGUUUUUUGUUAAAUAAGGGAUUUUUGUGAAACUUUAAUUGAGUCCUUCAGCUUUCGCAUUCAUUCAAUUGCACCCUUAAUUAGCCAUAAACCUUUGAUUUAGUGCAAUUUAGCCCCUGCUGAACUCCAAUUUUAACCCUGAAUUUCAGCUCUUUUUGCACUUUGGUCCUUGGUUUCGGAUUUAUGCAAUCUAACCCCUGAUUAACCAUUAAACUUUUAAUUUUUUCAAUUUCACCCCUGGUUUCAACCAAUUAAGCCCUUGGAGUUCGGCGCCUUUUACAAACUAGUCCUUAGCUGCGAAAAUCUUUAAUUUGACCCCUAAUUGACCCCAAAACUUCAAUUUUCUUGUGAUUUUACCCCUGAUUUUAAUGAAUUAUCUUGGUAAAAAUUAAAUUUGAUGUCUUGAAAUUACAAUCUUCUCAAUUAAACCCAAAUUGGGCUUCCAAACUUAAUUUUUAUUAGCUGAGGGACCAUGAUAAGUGAAUUGAAUUGUUCAAUAAAACUAUGAAUGCUUUUGUUCUUGACACGAUUGAAUGCGCCAUAGUUUUGAAGUCAGCUCGGCGGGUCAACCCGGGGCUGGAACCGGGCCAAGUUUAAGAAAAAAUUAGGAAAGUUAAAACCCGGGGUGACCUGGUUAGCCCGGCAAACUCGGUUCAAAACCCGGUUGCAACUCGUUGACUUUUAUUUUUUUAUUAAAACGAUGUCGUUUUAAUUUUUUAAAAAAAUUAAAAUUGACUUAGACAACCCGAUAACCCGAUUAAAACUCAAAAUCUAAGACUUGGACAAAUGAUAGCACGCUGUCGUGCUCAAGCGGAUAAUGGAGGGUUACCAAAUAUUCCACUCCGCUCAAUACAUCAUGGAGGGCCAACGUUGUCAGAUUCAUGAAAUUGGCAAGACACUUGUGAAAUUGAGGGGAAAAAAUAUGUUGUAGAAAAUUAAAAGUUUUUAUCUAGUAAUAAAAGGAAAUAGAGAUAUUAAAAUGUGUACUGAUCGCAGAUAUUUAGCUAAAAAAUUAGUUAUGCAUAUAAAAAUACGACAUUAUACUUACAAUAUUUUUUUAUAUAAAAAGUUAUAUUUAUUAUGUACUUUUUCCUUAAUUUAUCUUUUUGAUUAUUUUUAAUUAUCCUCAAUGUUUUUAGUUUAUAUUUUUAAUUUUCAAUUCCAAAUUAUUUUAUGAAAAAAUUGAUGUCAUUCUUUAAACAGAAAAUAAUAUGCUGAAGUUGAAUAAAAAAGGAUACGAAGCUUUAGCCCGAUAUUCUUUGUUAGAGGUUUUUUUUUUUUUUUUUUUCUUGAUUCUGUAUAUACUUGACCCAAAGCAUUUAGCCCAGAUUAAUAAAGAUAUAGCCCGAUAUUCUUCAAAGAGAAUCCAAGCCCACAGUCCAUCACACAACCCACGGCCAGUGCUGAAUAAACCUAAAGAAAACUAAAGCCAGCCCAUUGGCUAGAGCCCACAUAAGCCUCAUCCAAGAAAAAAAUGGGCUAAAGCCAGCCCAUUGGGGUUGAAAUGCAGCCUAUAUUUCAUGAUUUCUUGAAUUUUUUUAAAUUUAUUAUUUUUAUUUUUUCAGAUCAUUUUGAUGUCUUAACACUAGAAAUAAUUUUUAAAAAAUAAAAAUAAUAUUAUUUCAUAAAAAAAUGAAAAAAACCAAAAGAGAGGGAUGAAAUAAAUAUUGUUUUUGUAUAUUUAUCAGCUUAUUUAGGAAGAAAUGAUUCAAGAACAAGAAGCAAAAAUGACGGAGGUAUAACGAAGCACAUGAUCAAGAUGGGAAAUAUGAAGCCACUUACUAGAACUGAUGGGGAGAUCAUAAUGAAUUGUAGAAAGGACUAUGGGUUUUAAUCUUGCUCUUUCUACAUUCAAAACCGAAACAAGGAGCACAGUUUUGUCAAAUUUGAAAAUAUAGCAUGAUCAUUUCUUAAUUAAUUGUUGUUUCACUUAUCUUUCAUAACAGGUAUUUUUUUACAUACUUCAAAAAAAAAAAAACUGGUCAGUCGACCACACUAACUGAAUGUGAGAAGAGAUCUUCCAAACUUAUGGUGUCAAAUUCCUUUGGCAGAGAAGGCCACUUAGUUGCAAGCUCCGAAGAAAUUCUUCCCAUUGUAGGUCGGGAUUGCGGAUUGGGAUGCAAGCAUGCAAGUGCUAUCUUCAUGAUAUGGACAGCACCCUCUGCUGCUCCUUUUUUAGGAAGCGAGAUGCGUUGGUCAAGCACAUCCUUCAACAAUGUCUGUUGAGAAAUCGGUGGCAUCGAAGAUGAUGAGGAAGUUGCUUGUGAUGAGAGUGUGGAGAUGAGAUCGCCUGGGUGCCUUCCCAUCAUCACUUCCAUUGUUACCACUCCGAAGCUAUAGACAUCACAUUUUUCAGUCACUUUCAUCGUGUAAGCUAGCUCUGCCACAAAAAAAUUGGUUUUGCUGUGUUUUAAUCACAUAGUUGCUAGAAAUAAAAUUGAUAAAAAAAAUUACUUAAGUAUUUAUAGUAUAAGCUAAAAACAUACUAUUAUUCUUACUAUUAUAGGAAGGAGGAACUUAAUGUUGAAGUAAAGCUACGCACCUGGAGCAGUAUAUCCAAAAGUACCUGCAAAUGAGGUCCAAUUGGAUGAGUCAGGCAUCAACAUUCUAGCUGUGCCGAAGUCAGAGACAUGUGCCUCAUAUUCCAAAUCCAGAAGGACAUUAUUGCUGGUAAUGUCUCGAUGAAUGAUCGGAGGAGAGGAAGAAUGGUGAAGAUAGGAUAAAGCUCCAGCCAUCCCUUUCACAACAUUUAGCCUUUUCAUCCAAUCCAGCUCAAUUGCUUGUUCCUCGGUGGUUAUGAUCUUUCUCAAGCUUCCUCUUUCUAUGAACUCAUAAACCAAAAAAGAGUGCUUUGCAUGUGAGCAAAAUCCAUACAGCUUCACAAUAUUUCGAUGUCGAAUAUUUGCCAAAACACAAACUUCCGUUUCAAAAGCUUUAAAAUCGGACAACUUGUCUGUUUGUGACCGGUGAAGUUUCUUCACAGCAACCACCCGUUCUUCUGGCAUCACUGCUUUAUAAACAAUUCCAUAUCCUCCUUCGCCAAUGCAGUAGUUGGAAUUGAAUUCCUCGGUAGCUGCAAUUAUAUUCUCAUACAACAACUUCCCAUCAUGGCCCAAUAUCGUGAAUAAGUUUCGAUCUUGUUCAAUAUUCCCUGGCUCAGCUUUUCUCUUCCUAGCUCUUUGGCGGAGAAUGAAUAAAGCUCCAAUCACAACAAUCACUAAGAGUAAGCUUCCUAAAAGAGGGAGUACAAUCAAAAUAACAAGUUUGUUGCUCUUUCUCUUAACAGUUCUGCUGCUUUUUGGAAGAUUGCAUGGCUUUAGACCACUGGCGUUGCCACAUAUACCCAUAUUAUCCCUUAAUGCCUCAAAUGAAGCGUUGUGGAAGGCUUUGAUAUCGGGAAUGGGGCCUUGUAGCUUAUUGGAUGAUAUAUCCACAACUGUCAAGCUUAAUAGAUCUUUGAAAGUGCGCGGAAUCAAUCCAGAAAGCAUGUUGUGAGAGACAUUCAGAGUUUCCAACAUUUGCAGUUGCCCAAGUUGCCACGGUAUCUCUUGAGCUAAGAAAUUGCAACUCAGAUCAAGAUCUUGAAGAGAACGCAGAAAGCCUAUCUCCUGUGGAAUGCUAUUUGUAAAUUUAUUAUCAGUGAGGUUCAGCAACAAUAAAUUUGAGCACUCCCCAAGUUGUUUUGGAAUCGAUCCACUUAGAUUAUUAGAUGCUAAAUCAAGGAUUUUGAGGGAAGAAAGCAUCUUGAUGUCUGAGGGAAUGGCACCUGAAAGAUGGUUGUUGCUAAGAGUAAGGUUGUACAACAACUUCAACCCCCCUAAUUCUUUUGAGAUGGUUCCUUCUAAGUGAUUUGAGGACAAAUCAAUCAAUUGUAAUUGAGUAGCCUUCCCGAGCUCUGCUGGUAUCUCCCCAGAAACAUUAUUGUUUGAGAUUUUCAAGCUCGUUAUGUUACGAUAAUCUCCCCAUUUCAAUGAAAGCUCACCAUAAAAAUUAUUGUAACUCAAAUCAACAUAAUCCAAAUGUGGAUAGAUGCCAAAAUCCUCAGAAAUAUUUCCUGUCAAUUGAUUCCUAUCAAGUCUUAGUCGGUGUAAACUGGUACAGUUUUUCAAGCUUUUCGGGAUGGAACCGGAGAAAUAGUUGUUGGCAACGGUAAGAUUUUCCAAUACUCCUCCAUGGCAUACCUCUUGUGGCAAAUGACCCGUGAAUUCGUUGUCAGACAAAUGAAAUUGCUUCAAAUGGGUGAGAUUGUUCAUCUCUAGGGGCAAUGGACCAUGAAGUUUGUUAUUAGCCAAGCUCAAUCCCACCAGAGAUUUAAGCUGUCCUAUUUCUGAAGGAAUGCGACCAGAGAGUUUGUUAUCCCAAAGAAAGAGAUUGGAUAGGUUUUUCAAAUUUCCAAUAGAGGAAGGAAUUGAACCAGUGAGAUUAUUCACAGCUAAUGAGAGACGGGAAAGAGACGUCAACUUUCCAAUUUCAUGUGGAAUGGAGCCACUAAAAAGAUUUCUACAUAAAACUAAAUCAGUGAUACUUUUCAGGGAGCCUAUCUCAGAUGGGAUACUUCCCGUGAGAUCAUUAUAACAUAAGCCCAACUGAGUAAUCUUGGAUAGAUUACCGAUAUGUGAUGGUAAGGUUCCAUGAAUUGAAUUGUUCGAAAGGUCAAGAACGGAAAGAUUGGGGAAGGAUGAGAAGUUGAAAUCAUAAAGCGUACCUCUCAAACCGAAGUGCGGGAAGGUCAGAUUGGCGACACUUCCAGAACCGUCGCAAGUGAUUCCAAUCCAAUCAAUGCAAGGGCUGGUGCCGACCCAAGAAGAAAGGAGAGAUUGGCUUUGGUUGUCAAGACUUGCUUUCCAUUUGAGAAGAGCCUCAGCUUCUUUAAUAUUACCUCCAGCAACUUUGGAAUUGGCAGCACUAGUAGCCGCACCAAAUAUCGAAGUUUUAGAGGAAGUGUGAUCAGCAAGAACAAAGAAAGAAGAGAAGUAGAACAUGUGAAGGAGCAAGAAGAUCAGGACGUGGAGAAAGAUUGAGAAGAAUGGUUUGUGCAGUAAGGACAUCAUGGUGUGUUUUCAAGAGAUGCAGAAUAUUAAUGGUUUGCUAUGCUAGAUGGAGAUCCUAGGCUACAUGCAGUGGUAUUUAUAGGAUAAGGAUUGGAGUCUUUCUUAAUUUCAUCGAAUAUUUAAAUCUGAGAUUUCCAGUUCAUCAAUAAUUUCUUCUCCCAUUGGAAAUCAUAAGAUGCGACAAAUAUUGUAGACAUUGACAAUGUUGACUUGCUUUUUACAUAGAAAUUUAUUUCUAUUUUUCAAAAAUAAAUCUCAUAAAUGGAAAUAUAAUAACAGGAGUAGUACCCAUCUAAAAAACUAAAUAAAAAUAAAAGAUAGCACAAUUCGUGUGUGCGCGAUUUCAAAAAUGUAGAACAUGUCUGAUGAGUCUGCACUCUCAUGAACUUGAUUUGUUGUUGAGCAAUAAAGCUUGCUUCAAGUCAUGACUCGUAGCUUCAUUUACCAGUGGGGCCUUUGCUAGAAAUUAACUUCAUGUAACGAAAGUCAGGUUGAUGAUUCAUGCAUCUGCACUGCAGAUCUGCAUUAUAUUUUUGUUAUCCAAGGAAGGUAUGAAGGGAUUAAUUAGAGGAUUUGCUGCAGAGAGAGAAAAGUAAAAAGAAGAACAUAGUUUUACUUUCUGUAAUCAACUAUUUUUAAGAAUAUUUUUUAUAUAUAGCCUUUUAAGGUAUUAACCUGAUAUAAUCUAAGACCCAACUAUUUGGCCAGGUCAAUUACCCUUGUUUAAUAACUAUGGCUACCACUAACCAAGAGAUUAGUAAAAUAAAUAAAAUAAUUAUGAGAGGCGUGAAUUAAAAACAACAUUAAUUUUUAUCAUAAUCUUUUUCUCUCUCGAAGACGGGAAAAUCCAUAUGAUUCGGGAGAGUUUGUUUUUGUGGCAGCUUUUAAGACAAAACACAAAAACAAGGUAUGUGAUUACAUUUGAAAUGCAAGUUUGUGCUUGUGAGACCCAUUACAUUUGAAACACAAGCUAUUCAAUCACAUGCUAACAAAAAAUAAUAUCAACAUGCUUAAAAUAAACUAUGUGUAUAAAUACCAAUAAAAAAAUUUGUUGGUAAAACUAUUAAAACUGAUAAUAAAACUACUUACUUUCAAGCUAUAGACUCAAAGUAUUUUAUUUAUGCAAGGAUAAAUCUAACAUUUUUAUAUAUAUUUUAUUUUAAGAUGUAACAUGUCUAAAAUCAAAUAUUAUAUGAUUUAUAGCUUCAAAAUCAAUUAUUCAUUGUAUAAUUAUUAAAAUUUAAACCUUUAGGGAAUUGCUAGAAUAAAAUCUAAUUAGGGAAUUGCUAGAAUAAAAAUCUAUUCAAGUAUUAGUCAGGAUCAAGAUGUGAUAUGUCUAAAAUCAAAUCAAAAUCAAUUAUUCAUUGUAUAAUUAUUAAAACCUUGAACCUUUCAUCUUAUAAUAAAAUACAAAGAAUUUAUAAUUAUAGCUUACAAAAUAAGACGUGAAUCAAUCACAAUCAUAAUAUCAUCAUAAAUGAAAAUUUACUCCUGUUUCUCUGGUGCUUGACACUGUUGAAAUUUCCAAAUCAUCUUUGUUUUCCCUUUCCAAAUAAUUGUCGGAAAGUCCAACGUUCACACGCUAUCUUGCUUAAGGGGCUGAAUAGUACUGUAGAUGGGUCCAUGGGGAUGGAAAAAUUGUAACUUGAUGGGCUCUCGCUGGGAGGAUAGUCGGCGGAUAUCAAGUAUAAAUAUCAACAGAAAAAUCUCUCGGAAAAACUUUUAAAUAUAGUCAUAAAACUCUUUGCUUUUCAGCUAUAGACUCAAAAUAUUUUAUUUAUGGAAGGAUAAAUCUAACAUUUUUAUAUGUAUUUUAUUUUAUCUUAUAUAUACCUCCAAUACCAUUUAAGAGGGUGGGUCUUGCUGCCAGCUUCUUACGUACGGUUGAUUAUUUUGCCUACUGAAGUUGUUAUAAUUUUUUCAAUGUGAUAGCGAGUGUUUGUUCAUGAUUUCUGCAAUGGAACUUAUCGUGCAAAUUGGGGUUGGAUUUUCUAAUGAAAUGAUGGAUACAACAUGAAGUUGGGAAUUCAUUGAUUAGUUGCGGUCUUCCUACGGUUGAUUAAUUUCUCAUACCUUCUCUCUAACUAUCAAUAUCAUGGGCUAAAACGCGUUGAUUUCUACUCUUAUGAAUUGUGCCAUGUACAAAAAUUACUAUUAUGCUUAAGAAAUUAUUCUCUUAAAACUUGUGUCAUUCUAUGUAUUAUGGUUAGGUAUCAAUCAUCUAUGCGUUUAACCAAUAAAAAAAAUAAGUUAACGUGACAAAUGACAAAAAAUUAUAUGUUUAUUAAUUGAUAAAUCAUUAUAAAAAGAGAGAGUAAAAACACAUAUAUAAAAAUAAAAAAGAAAACAAAUGAGCAAACAUCACCACUAAUUAUGUUGGUUUCAGAUUGCCUUGAUUGCUUUUGUUUUUUAUAGUGAAUUUGUUAAACUCGUAACUCUUCCUGCAUUUAACAAGCUUUAUUUUGCUUAUAAGAAAAAAAUAUUUGAUUUUUUAAAUAAAAAAAAAUACCAUAAAAAAAAUAUUUUUCUAAACUAAAUAGAAAUAAAAACAAUUAAGAAAACAAAGAAUUUGCCAUAAAAUCCUUUUGCAUCACCAUGCAUAUAUGCUCUCAUCUAAUGGAAUUGUUUCUAAUUAGUGUUUUUUUUAUAAAAAAAAAAAACCAUUGAAAUGGUCUACUAUCGAAACAUUGGUUAUGAAAUUUCAAAUUCAUCAAUAAUUUAUUCUCCCUUUCCAAAUCAUAGGAUGCAAUAAUAUUGUGGGCUCUCCCCCUAGUGUGUGCAAGUCCUAUAGAUAUUCACAAUGUUGACUCCCUUUUGUUCCGGGAAUUCCUGAACAAGUGUUAAAUUCAAUGACAAAUUAUACCAUUACAGUUUUUCCAUGAGACUUGUAACACAAACUUUUUCCAUGAGAUAGUUUAAACUCAACCUAAGUAUAUAAGAAAAAGUUAUAAGAGAAUUGUUUUUCCUUCUUUUAAUUCUUGUGGCUGUCGUGACCCUCCCCUCAUCAAACCAAGGAUUUCAUUUUUUAAUCUUGAGUUUUUGGGUGAUAGUUGACCGUUUGACCAAGUCAGUUUAUUUCUUACCAAUUGUCGCAUGUGUGAGGUUUCGCAAUGAGCGUCUUCUCGGAUGAUAUUGGGAAAUGAGAGAGACAAGGAUUUCUUGUCUUUUAUCAGUGGAAAGAGGGAAUGAGAAUCGCCACCUAUUAUUCUGGUCACUAAGAACCCUAACUAGUCUCAAAGAUCGGGCACGAGGACUGAUUGCGUAAAGGAAAUGUAUUAGCACCCUUAAUACGCCUUGCUUAAGGUAAGCUACAUUGUUUAAUUGUUUGAUAUAAAUUAAGAUAUUGUUGUGUUUUCUAAUUGUUGGUCUGUCUAAGGUUUAAGAAAAUUCAUUCUCAGUAAAGAGAUUCUUAUCUUAUCAAGUAAAACCUAAUCAUUAUAACAUUAACAAAAAAGAACUACCUUUUAUUUAAUAUUAGGAAUACGUCUUAUGUAUAAGUUUGUAAUCUCAGUUAUUAAAAGAAAACAAAAUAUUUUUUUUGGUAUUUUUGAAAUAUAGGCCUAGUUCUUAUAAUUUUAAUAAACUGAUUAUUAAAGCCCAAAAUGCAUGCUAAUACAUAAUUUUUUUUUGUAUGAAAAUACAAUAUGAAUUUUUUAUAUUUUUGAGAGACUUGGUUGUAUGCAUGAAAACAAGAUAUUUUUUGUUAUUUUUUUAUUUAAUUUUUUUUGUAUUAUUUCAGAGAAAACCAUGUAUUUUAAUACUGGAUUUGUAUCUUUACAGUAUAAAAAUACAAACUAAUAUUAAGAAAAAAUGAUAAAAAAAAAUAUACAAGAAAAUCAAAAAAAAAUUGAAAGGAUUUUUGAAUUUUUUUGUUUUUGUUUAAUAUAUAAUAUUUAUUAUAUAUUAUUAUUAUUAUUAUAUUAUAUAAUAUUAUAUUGGAUUGGGCCCAACCCAAUUAUAUGGUCUAAGCCCCUCCUGUUUGGGUCAAUGUCGGCCCAAAACAGGGGUUUUGCCGAUGUCGGCCUAAUAUAUAAUAUUUUCUUUUUAUUAGACUGGAGCGUCCCAGCCCAACCUUGUGGUUUGGGCCGGCACUGGUUUGGCUUAGUCAAUAGUGGAAAAGCUCUCCAUUGUUCAUGCAGAAUAAUGGAGAAGGAAGAGAUGCAAGAGAAGAAGAAGAAGAAGAAGAAGAAGAAAAGGAAGAAGAAGAAAGGGGAAGGUUGAGCUAGCAGUGACUUAACGGUGGUGCUAGUGGCAGAAUGACGGUGGUUUCAAAUGGCUACGGGGAGAAAAAUGAUGGUCUGCAGUGGCGACUGUUGCAGGAAGGGCAAUCUUCUCUGUUUUUUUUUGUUCUUUUGUUUUUUUCUCUGUCUUUUAUCUGUUUUCUUUAUCCCCGGUAUAGUUUUUUUUUCUUGUUCUUGUCAUUGUUUUUUUUGUCCUUCCUCUUCUUCUUUCCCUCUUUAUUUUUCCUUGUUUUUUCUUUCUUUCUUUUUUCGCUUCUAUUUUGUUUUUUCCUUUGCCCCUCUGUUUUUCCUUUCUUUUCUUUUUUUGUUCCACCAUCCUUUCAUCUCCCUCCUCACAGCUUGGUGAGGGGGUAUUUAUAAAGGGGAAAGGAAGAGAGCCACCCUACUUUUGUCCAGUCGCGCUGAAUGGGUAGGGUGGUUGGGCGGCCACUAGGCAGUCACCCAAGGCCGCCUGCAGGGCUUGUCCCCUCUGUGUUUUUGUCUGGUGGUAGGCCAUGGGUGUGGGUUGCGUCAGCUUUUUGGGUAUAUGGGAGAUAGAGUGAGAGAGACGCUGCAGGGGAGAAAAAUCCUUCUUCCCUUGCCUGCAGCCAUAGUUAUUAAACCCGGCCCAGGGGUUGACCUGACCAAGGGGCCGGGUCCCGGGUUUCAUGGGUCAACCCGGGUCAACUCGGGUCAACCCGGAUUAACCUGGAAAAAUUAAAAAAAAAUUAAAGUUUUAAUAUUUCAUAUGAAAAAAUCCAUGUAAAUAUAGAUUAUACAUAUUAUGAAGUUUAAAAAAAUAUUUUAAAAAGUUUUUUAUCCUACAUUAAAAAUAUAUUAUGUUAAGCUUUUAAGUUAAAGUAUUUAAACUAAAAAAGUUUUUUAUCCCACAUUGAAAAAACAUAACUUUUUUCUUGGAAACAUAGAGUAUAUAUACUAAUGAGUUUCAAAUCCCACAUUGAAAAGAUAAUAUAUUAUCCUUUUAAGUUGAAGUAUUUAAACCAUAAGGUUUUUUAUCCCACAUUGAAAAAACAUGGUUUUUUUCAUGGGAACAUAGAGUAUAUAUAUGAAAGGGUUUCAAAUCCCACAUUGAAAAGAUACCAUGUUAUCCUUUUAAGUUGAAGUAUUUAAACCAAAAGGUUUUUUAUCCCACAUUGAAAAAACAUGGUUUUUUUCAUGGGAACAUAUUGUAUAUAUAUGAAAGAGUUUCAAAUCCCACAUUGAAAAGAUACUAUGUUAUUCUUUUAAGUUGAAAUAUUUAAACCAAAAGGUUUUUUUAUCCCACAUUGAAAAAACAUGGUUUUUUCAUGGGAACAUAGUGUAUAUAUAUGAAAGGGCUUCAAAUCCCACAUUGAAAAGAUACUAUGUUAUCCUUUUAAGUUGAAAUAUUUAAACCAAAAGGUUUUUAUCCCACAUUGAAAAAACAUGGUUUUUUUCAUGGAAACAUAGAGUAUAUAUACUAAUGGGUUUCAAAUCCCACAUUUGAAAAAAAAAACCGGGUCUCGUCCGGGUUCGCCCGGGUCACCCGGGUUCCGGGUCGCCCGGGUUUGGUCGGGCUGUUGCCACAACCGGUCUUUUAUUAAACCCGGACCGGUCCAGCCACCGGGUCGACCGGGUCCCGGGUCGACCCGCCGGGCCGGGCCGGGUUUAAUAAUUGUGCCUGCAGCGUGUUCAUAGGAAGAAGAAGACAUAUAGUGUCGUUCAAAAUGACACUGUUUUGAGCUUUGUCUUUUUUUUUUUGAAUAACAGUAAACCAAACGAUGUGGUUUUAAACAAAACAUGUUAUUUCAUUUAAAAGAAAAUAUUGCCAAAAAGUUUUUAUUUCCAAAUCAGUCCUCAAUUUAUGAUUUAUUCAAUCAAGCCUUCAAUUGAGAUUUUGGUUUUAAGAAUCAAUUCAAUUGCAUCCCUGCCAAAUUCAAAUGUCAGCCCUAAAGUUGACCAUUUUUUUCACUUUGGUCCUUGAUUUUGAAUUUGUUCAUUUUGACCCUCAAUUGAUCAACAAACUUCUAAUUUCUUCAAUUUAGCCCCUGAUUCGGUCAAUUCCAGCCCUUAUAUUAGCGCCCCUUUUUCAGUUUAGUUCUUGGUUUUGGAUUUUUUUAAUCAAGUCCCUAAUUGCCCAUCAAACUUUAAUAUUUAUGCAAUUAAGCCCCUAAUUUGACCAAAUUAACAGUUAAAAAUUAUAAUUUGAUCCCUCCUAAACUUUAAUUUCUUUUAAUUAAAGCUCAAAUUGACUUAAAAAAUCAAUCUUCUUGUAAUUAAACCCUCCAUAAAUUCAAUUAAACCUUUAAUAAAAUCUAAUUGAGCCCUUAAACAUCCAAUUUUGAAUUUAUCUUUGUUAAAUUGAAUUUUCUUUACCAACAGGGCUUUUAUUAGUCGAAAAUAUAUUGUUAAAUUCCAAUCUUUGUAUUUUUUAACCUUCUCAACCAAACUUUGGCCAUUUUCAAGGCUCCUUGAUGUCCUUUUCUCACUAAUAUAUAUUUUUUGGUUUUUCUUCUGAUAAUUCUUGAUUUUUUUUUAUUUUCUUCUUUUUGUAUGGGGAUCCCAAAAAUGGGUAACAACACUAGUAAAGGUGACAUAUGGGUUUGCAAAACUAGUAGAAAUCUAUGUCAACGAGAUUAUAAGGUUGCACGAUGUGUCGAUCUCAAUUGUGUCCAACAAAGGUCCACAGUUCACUUUUCAAUUUUGGGUGAAGUUUCAGGAAGUUUUGGGGACUAACGUUCAGUUAAGUACUACUUUUCAUUCUCAGACCAAUAGAUAGUCUGAAAGGACUAUAUAGAUUUUGAAAGAUAUGUGAGAGCUUGUGUGAUUGACUUUGGAGUAGGAUGGAGCAAUUACUUGUCUUUGGUGGAGUUUGCUUAUAACAAUAGUUAUCAGGCAAGUAUUGAUAUGGCACUAUAUGAGACUUUGUAUAGCCGAAUGUGUAGAUCACCUGUAUGUUGGUAUGAGGUUGGUGAGAGGGGAUUAAUGGGCCCCGACUUAAUACAGAUUACUUUGGAUAAGAUUAAGGUGAUUCGAGAUAAACUUCAAACAGCUCAGAGUAGGCAAAAGAUUUAUGCGUAUAAGAGGAGGCGUAAUCUAGAAGUUUUAGUGGGUCACAAUGUGUUCCUGAAGUUCUCCCCGAUUAAAGGAAUAUUCAUAUUUAAUAAGAAAGGAAAAUUGAGUCCCAAGUUUAUAUGGUCAUUAGAGAUCUUGGAAAUAGUAGGGGCAAUGGCAUAUUGGUUUGCCUUGCCGCCUAAUCUAUCCUCCAUACAUCUAGUGUUCCAUGUUUUGAUGUUAAGAAAGUAUUUGUUUGAUUCAUCUCAUAUGCUGGAAAUUCAAUCGGUUGAGCUAAGGGAUGAUAUGUUGUACAAAGUCCAACCAAAGGAAAUAGUGGUUUGACAAGUUAAAAACUUUGAUUGAAGGAAAUCACAUCGGUUAAGGUUGUGUGGAGCGAACUCCCACGCAAAGAAGCGACAUAGAAGAAAUGCUUAACAAGUAUUCCAUACUUGUUUGAACUUGAUGGUUGACUUUGGUUCUUAAAGUUUAAAUUCGAGGAUGAAUUUUAUAUAACGGGGGAAGUGCUGUAAGACCCAAACUUUUAGCUCAAACCUAAGCCCAAGUCAGUGUAAACCCAACAUAAGUUAACCUAGGUAUAUAAGAAAAAGUUGCAAGAGAAUUAUUUCUCUCUUCUAAUUCUUGUGGUUGUCGUGAUCCUCCCCUCAUCAAAUUAAGAAUUUCAGUUUUUGAUCUUGAGUUUUUGAGUUCAAGAAAGGUGAAAGUAUCAAGUAAGUGGUUUCCUCUCAUGUUACUUUUGAUUAUGGUUUGUUUAUGGAAGGAUAAAAAAGAGAUUAGGGUUUAUAAAGUCUUGAAGUUUAUGUUGUUAAGAUUGAUUCAUGAUUAUUAUAGGUUUAAGGUUAAGUGAUUGAUUCUAGAUGUGUUGUUAGAAAUAAAGAUUUGUGAAUUGAUUUGUUAUGGGUUAAGAAAUUUGUUUCAACUUUGCUGGAAAAUCUAGAUAGAAUGGCUUGGGGUUGAAGAUGAUGAAAUUUUAUCUUGGUCCUUAAUUUAUAAAAAUUACAGUUUAGUCCCUUAACUUUGAAAAUUUAUAAUUUGACCCCGAAACAUGUUCUGGAAUUCUGGUUAGUAUUCUUAUGAGAUUAAAGAUGAUGAAUCUCAGUUUGAUAAUUGAUUUGUGUAAUUUUUAGUUUAGCCACUCUAUUUUGGAGAUUUACAGUUUAGUCCCUAAAUUUUUGAAAAAAAUAUAAUUUGGUCCCUAAAAUGUAAAUCGAGAUCCUGGAUAUAAUUAAGGAUGGAUUAUGGGUGAAAUUUUACUAUGGUUAUGUAUUUUUGGCUUUUACAGUUUGGUCAUCCAAUUCUAGAAAAAUUAUGUUUUAAUCCUUGAUUUCUAAAAAUUGUUGUUUUGGUCCCUGAUUUAUAAAAAUUGUUGUUUAUCCCUAAACUUAGGAGACUAAACCUGGUUUUCUUUUAUGAAUUGGAGUCUUUUAUUUGUGUUGUUUUAAGUUGUUUUUUUAGUAUAUUCUAUAUAUUUGUUGUAGGUAUUUCUAACGAUUCUCAAUAGGAUUUUCAGGUCUUUCAUCUAAUAUUCCUUUUACUUAUAUAUUUUUUGGGUGAGUUGGAUAAUAUUUAAUAUACAUGUAAUAUAAAUAAAUAUGUAUGUUGAUUAUAUGAUGAUUACAACUAGUUAAUUUCUUGAAUAUUUAUAUUUGUUGUUUUAUUUUCUUAGUACUUAUCUAUUCUUGAAUUUGCAUUCGCAUUCUAUUGAACUAAAUUCUAUGAUAUACAUUGCUUUGAUAAUUAUGUGAAUAUCUAUUAUGCCUUGAUAUAGAAAUUGUAAGUAACUUCAUGCUAACAUGACUAAUUUGUAGACUUCCUUGUUAAUUUUUGGGUAUCAUCUAGUGACCUUCAACUAUUAUCUGAUUUUUAAUAUGUAUUUCAUUACUUUAUAAUAAUAUACUUAGUCUACUAAAAAAACAAAUUUUCAAUUCUUCUUUCUCCUUUCCAAAUUCAUAGUUUGAAAGUGGUAUAUUCACACGCUAUCUUGCUCACGAUGCUGAAUAGUGUAACGUUAUGGGCUCUCACUAUGUAUUGGAAUCUUUUUCAUAAUUUCUUCUCCCUUUCCAAAUCAUUGCAUGCGACAAAUAUUGUGGGCUCGCCUGACUAAUUUGUGGACUUCCUUGUUCUUAAACAUAAUUUAUUAUGUUGAAGGAUGUUUUUCAUAUUGAAUUAUUGUAAUGACCUAUCUUUGUUUGUAAUUAAAGACAUAAAGACUCCAACUGUUAAUUUUGGCUAUAGGUGCAAUUUUCUCUAUGCAAUCAAUACUAUGGUUUAUAUAUAUAUCACAUCUAGCUGGUUUCUUUUUGUACAUUGUUAGUAAUAGAUAUGAAUGAUAAUUAAUUUACAAAUAAUGAAUUUAAUAUUAACAAAUGAUGAUGAGAUACUUAAUGACACAUAAAAUAUUUAACCUUAGUUUAUGUUCAUAUGUGAGAUUAAAGAAUACUACUAGGCCAAAAAUUAUCACACAAAAUCCUAAGUUUCAUUUUCUUGUUGGAAUUUCAUCUCUUGGUUCAUAGCUACUUUCCACCUCGAGUCAACAAAGCUUCUUGAAUAUUAUUUGGAAUAAAUAUAAAAAUAAUUAAUUUACAAAUAAUAAAUUUAAUAUUAAAAAAAUAAUGGUUAUACAGCUAAUUAAUAUAACUCAUAUAUAUGAUAUUUGACUUCAUUAGCCAAAAAUUAUCACAAAAGAUAAAUAAUCUAAUUAGGGAAUUGCUAGAAUAAAAUCUAUUCAAGUAUUAGUCAGGAUCAAGAAACUAAAAUUAAGAUGUGAUAUGUCUAAAAUCAAAUCAAAAUCAAUUACCCAUUGUAUAAUUAUUAAAACCUUGAACCUUUCAUCUUAUAAUAAAAUACAAAGAAUUUAUAAUUAUAGCUUACAAAAUAAGAUGUGCAUCAAUCACAAUCAUAAUAUCAUCAUAAAUGAAAAUUAACUCCUGUUUCUCUGGUGCUUGACACUGUUGAAAUUUCCAAAUCAUCUUUGUUUCCCCUUUCCAAAUUAUUGUCGGCAAGUCCAGCGUUCACACGCUAUCUUGCUUAAGGGGCGGAAUAGUGUAGACGGGUCAAUGGGGAUGGAAAAAUUGUAACUUGAUGGGCUCUCACCGGAAGGAUAGUCGGCGGAUAUCAAGUAUAAAUAUCAACAGAAAAUUGUAUUGGAAAAACUUUUACAUCUAGGACAGUAGUUAAAGAUUAUUUUUAAAUUUUUUUGUAUUUAUUUGUUAUUAAAAAAAUUAUUCAAUGAAAAACAAAAACACUUUCCAAUCAAUAAAAAAUUUGAUUUGAUUUUCAAGAAAGUAUUUUCCUUUUAUUUUAAAUAAAAAAACAUUUUUAAAAAAUUAUAAAAAAUUUAAAAAUAUUAUAUUAUUUAAAAUUUUCAAAUCAUGUUUGUUUUACUUUCCUAAUUAUUGUGGAAAGUCCAACGUUCACAUGCUAUCUUGCUUAAGGGGCUGAAUAGUACUGUAGAUGGGUCCAUGGGAAUGGAAAAAUUGUAACGCUAUGGGUUUGUGGGUAAUAUUUGGUAUUGUAUUUUAGAAAUGUUUUUUAAAAAAAUUGCAAACUCCUUCCUCUUUUAUCCUCAAAUUCGGCUAGAACAUUAACAAUCAAUGGCAUGAUCUAUCAUACGCUCCAAAAUGUCGGAAUGUAUAAUACACUCAUUAUUCAUUACUGCAUUAAUGGAGGAAAUUCUGAGUUUCCAUGCAUGAGUCAGUCCAGCAAUGGUCGAAUUUCAUGGCAAUGCUAAGAAUAACAGUAGCUGUCUAGCUAGGAAGAUUGCGAGUAACAUUGUUAUUUGGUAACCAAGAAAAAAAUUAUUAUCAUAUAUGUCGCACCCGACAUCGCGGCGGCCCACAAAAUAAAUUCUUGAAUAUGGAAAAAGAACAGAUUUCUGGCAUCUUGUUCUUUUAGGGAAAAAGGUCUUGUUUAAGGAGUCGCCACCUAGUAUUAUGGUCACUAGGAACCCUAACUGGUCAACAGAGAUUCUAUGGUACGAAACUGGUUACGUAAAAGGAAAAAUAUUAUCACCCCUUAAACAUUCUGCCUGAGGCAGACUACAUUGAUGGUUUUGUCUUAAAUUACUAAAUGUUUAUUAGUUUACGCUAUGAUAAUUUGCUUAUAAUAUUCCUGAAUCUGGCGUCAGUGAAUAUUCAACUACGAAUAUCUGCAACUCUGAUGUUGGUAAAUAUUAUGUAGCUAUAAAAACAAUUAGAUCAAUAUUUUUUAUUCCCUACUCUAGCGCUAGUAAAUAAAUAAAUAAAAAUAAAUUUAUUUUUAAGCAUGCACAUGUUUUUUUUUGUUUUUUUAGCUAAAUAAAAUAAAAUACAACGAAUAAAAAUAAUAUAAAUUUAAACCGGUAUUUUUAUUCCUGACUCUGGCGUCAGUGAAUAGACCAAUAAAUUUACAUUAUUUUUAUUCAUUCAUACACAUUUUUUAUUUUUUUUAUUUUUUCUACUUUUUCUAUUUUUCUGUUUUUUUAUUUUUUUGGGGGCUGGGCCCAGCUCAGCCCACAUGGGCUGGGCUGGAUCCAGCCAGCCCGGCCCGGUCACUGGCCCAAGCCAGUGACCCGGCUGGGCAAACAACACGCGUGUCUAAGUGUUCAGUGAAUUAAAAUUCACAUGAACAGUAUAGCAUGAAUUAAAACUGAAAGGCGAGAAGAGAUGAAGAAAAACUUACUUGUGGUCUACCGCUCCUGAAGAUGAAGACGAAGUUGAGGGCGGUUGGUGCUCAUUAGGUUCAGCUAGCAUAGCAUUCACGAGGCCACCAGUGCUGGUGCCUGAAAUCACAUCAAACUAGUCUGCAAGUCUUGCGUCUGCACCAUCCAGCUUCUGGUGCAGCUGCGGGGUAAAGACGAAGACGAUGGUGACGACCGGUUAGCUCUGGCCGGACGAUGUCUUCUCCCUCCUCGUUUCCUGCCUGUCUCGAUGGUGUCUGGAGGCUGGUUGCUGAAGACUGUGAAGACGAUGGUCAAUGCCGGUUCUCGUCUCUGCGCUUUCGUCGGCUGGGUUGAGUUUGCGUCUCCUUUUCUCCUGGUUUUUAUAUUCUGUCACCUUCAGUUCUGAGAUGAAGGGACAAAGACGAUGGUGGGGCUGAUCCUCGUCUCUGUGUCGUUCCUCUGCUUUUUCUCUCCUUCCCGGUUUCUUUGUUCUUUUUUUUUUUUUUGUGUUAUUGGUCCCCUUUUCAGUCCAGUUCCUCCUGUGCUCCCUUCGUGUUCUAGGUUCUCUCCCCGUUUUUUCCCCCCGUUUAAGGUUUCUUGCACUGCUCGCUCUUCUGUUUUUUCUGUCUUCUUCCUUUUGUUCUCGUGUCUUUUUCUCUCCGUUCAGCCUUGACUCUGCCUUUUUCUUCCUCCUUUUCGUCCUCCCAGUUUUUCUUUUUUUCUCUGUAGCCUUCUCUUGCUUAUAAAGCCAGAGAAUGGCCUUUCUUCACGCGUUCGUGCCUCACGAUCGUGAGGCACGAACGCCUCUGUUUCUUAGAGAAGAAACAGGGGCAGAAAACUUGCUCCCCUCUGUACAGUUUCUGUUCUUGCGUCUUGUUGUGUUCCCGGUGUUACUUCCUCUCUGUAAGCAGGGAAACGGAGACGUGAUGGAGGACUGGUGGGCUAGUUGCUUUCUUCCUCCGCUGCUCGUGGCCUCUCUCCGUGGCCUCCUCUGUUUCUUUGAGAAGAAACAGAGGAACGAAAGUUUUUUUCUAUUCUUCCCCCGGUUCUGUGUUUCUCUAGUGGCUUUUCGGUUAUGUCAUUUUCCCCCCCCUUUGCCGGUUCUCCUUCUCUGGUUUUUAUAACCAGAGAAUGCCAUGCGGUUGCAACUUCUGUGUUUCUCUAGUGGCUUUUCGGUUAUGUCAUUUUUCCCCCCCUUUGCCGGUUCUCCUUCUCUGGUUUUUAUAACCAGAGAAUGCCAUGCGGUUGCAUGGAUUUUAAUGCAAUAAAGGCAUGCGUUUUCUUCUUGUUUUCCGGUGAAGAUGAUGAAUAGUGUUCUUUCAAACGACGCCGUUUUGGUAUGUGAGGUGGCCAUUUGCGUUUUGGCCCAUGAAGUUCCGAAAAGUUUAUAAUUAAGCCCCUAGUUUAAACUGUAAUUGCCCCUGCAUUUCGGUGUCUUUUACAAGUUAGUCCUUGGACUUUAAUCUGCUGCAAUUGUGCCCCCAAUUAACCCCAAACUUUUCUUUUUCUUCAAUUAAGUCCCUGAUUUCAUUAAUUUAAUUAAUUCCAAGCUCAAUUAAGUCUCAAAACUUAUCAAUUCUCCAAUUAAACCCUUGAUUGGAUGAAUUAAGUCUCAAAACUUAUCAAAUAUUCAAUCAAACCUUUAACUUGAUUAAUUAAAUUAAUUCCAAGUUUAAUUAAAUUAAUUCCAAGUUUAAUUAUAUUAAUUCUAAAGUUUAAUUAUAUUAAUUCUAAAGUUUAAUUAAACCCCAACCCAAAUUUUAAUUCAUUCUUUAUUUUUUUCAUUUUUUUCAUUUUUUUAUCCUUUUCAGUAAAUAAAAUAAUAAUAAUAAUAAUUAAAAUAAAAUGGUUAAAAAUUGAAUUAUGACAAUAUAUAUCAAAAAUAUAUAUCAAAGCACAUGAUCAACUUACUGGAACUGAUGGGGAGAUCAUAAUGAAUUGUAGAAAGGACUAUGGGUUUUAAUCUUGCUCUUUCUACAUUCUCUUUCUACAUUCAAAACCGAAACAAGGAGCACAGUUUUGUCAAGUUUGAAAAUAUAGCAUGAUCAUUUCUUAAUUAAUUGUUGUUUCACUUAUCUUUCAUAACAGGCAUUUUUGACAUACUUUAAAAAAAAAAAAAAAAAGCCAACCCAUGAACAUAGUCUACAUCAAAUUACAAAAUUUAUUGCUCAAAUCUAUAGUUGAAGAGAAGAAGUUAAACCCCUCAAAAAACUGGUCAGUCGACCACACUAACUGUAUGUGAGAACAGAUCUUCCAAACUGAGUGUGUCAAAUUCCUUUGGCAGAGAAGGCCACUUAGUUGCAAGCUCCGAAGAAAUUCUUCCCAUUGUAGGUCGGGAUUGCGGAUUGGGAUGCAAGCAUGCAAGUGCUAUCUUCAUGAUAUGGACAACACCCUCUGCUGCUCCUUUUUUAGGAAGUGAGAUGCGUUGGUCAAGCACAUCCUUCAACAAUGUCUGUUGAGAAAUCGGUGGCUUCGAAGAUGAUGAGGAAGAUGCUUGUGAUGAGAUUGUGGAGAUGAGAUCGCCUGGGUGCCUUCCCAUCAUCACUUCCAUUGUUACCACUCCGAAGCUAUAGACAUCACAUUUUUCAGUCACUUUCAUCGUGUAAGCUAGCUCUGCCAAAAAAAAAAAAUGGUUAUGCUGUGUUUUUAUCACAUAGUUGAUAGAAAUAAAAUUGAAAAAAAAUUACUUAUGUAUUUAUACUAUAAGCUAAAAACAUACUAUUAUUCUUACUAUAUAUUGUAGGAACUUAAUGUUGAAGUAAAGCUACGCACCUGGAGCAGUAUAUCCAAAAGUACCUGCAAAUGAGGUCCAAUUGGAUGAGUCAGGCAUCAACAGUCUAGCUGUGCCGAAGUCAGAGACAUGUGCCUCAUAUUCCAAAUCAAGAAGGAUAUUAUUGCUGGUAAUGUCUCGAUGAAUGAUCGGAGGAGAGCAAGAAUGGUGUAGAUAGGAUAAAGCUCCAGCCAUCCCUUUCACAACAUUUAGCCUUUUCAUCCAAUCCAGCUCAAUUGCUUGUUCCUCACUGGUUAUAAUCUUUCUCAAGCUUCCUCUUUCUAUAAGCUCAUAAACCAAAAAAGAGUGCUUUGCAUGUGAGCAAAAUCCAUACAGCUUCACGAUAUUUCGAUGUCGAAUAUUUGCCAACACACGAACUUCCGUUUCAAAAGCUUUAAAAUUGGACAACUUGUCUGUUUGUGACUGGUGAAGUUUCUUCACAGCAACCACCCGUUCUGGUGGCAUCACUGCUUUAUAAACAAUUCCAUAUCCUCCUUCGCCAAUGCAGUAGUUGGAAUUGAAUUCCUCGGUAGCUGCAAUGAUAUUCUCAUACAACAACUUCCCAUCAUGGCCCAAUACCGUGAAUAAGUUUCGAUCUUGUUCAAUAUUCCCUGGCUCAGCUUUUCUCUUCCUAGCUCUUUGGUGGAGAAUGAAGAAAGCUCCAAUCAAAACAAACACUAAAAGUAAGCUUCCUAAAAGAGGAAGUACAAUUAAAAUAACAAGUUUAUUGCCCUUUCUCUUAAGAGUUCUGCUGCUUUUUGGAAGAUUACAUGGCUUUAGACCACUCGCGUUGCCACAAACACCCAUGUUGUCUCUGUAUGCCUCAAAUGGAGCAUUAAGGAAGGCUUUGAUAUCGGGAAUAGGGCCCUGUAGCUCAUUGUAUGAUAUAUCCACCGCUGUCAAGCUUAACAGUUGUUUGAAAGAGCUCGGAAUCAAUCCAGAAAGCACGUUGUGAGAGACAUUCAGAGUUUCCAACAUUUGCAGCUGCCCAAGUUGCCACGGUAUCUCUCGAGCAAGGAAAUUGCAGCUAAGAACAAGAUCUUGAAGAGAACGCAGAAAGCCUAUCUCCUGUGGAAUGCUUUUUGUAAAUUUAUUAUUACUGAGGUUCAGCAACAAUAAAUUUGAGCACUCCCCAAGUUGUUUUGGAAUCGAUCCACUUAGAUUGUUAGAUGCUAAAUCAAGGAUUUUGAGAGAAGAAAGCAUCUUGAUGUCUGAGGGAAUGGCACCCGAAAGAUGGUUGUUGCUAAGAGUAAGGCUGUACAACAGCUUCAGCCCCCCUAAUUCUUUUGGGAUGGUUCCUUCUAAGUGAUUUGAGGACAGAUCAAUCAAUUGUAAUUGAGUAGCCUUCCCGAGCUCUGCUGGUAUCUCCCCAGCAACAUUAUUGUUUGAGAUUUUCAAGCUCGUUAUGUUACAGUAAUCUUCCCAUUUCAAAGAAAGCUCACCAUAAAAAUUAUUGUAACUCAAAUCAACAUAAUCCAAAUGUGGAUAGAUGCCAAAAUCCUCAGAAAUAUUUCCUGUCAAUUGAUUCCCAUCAAGUCUUAGUCGGUGUAAACUGGUACAGUUUUUCAAGCUUUCCGGGAUGGAACCUGAGAAAUAGUUGUUGGCAGCGGUAAGAUUUUCCAAUACUCCUCCAUGGCAUACCUCUUGCGGCAAAUGACCCGUGAAUUCGUUUUCAGACACAUGCAAUUGCUUCAAAUGGGUGAGAUUGUUCAUCUCUAGGGGCAAUGGGCCAUGAAGUUUGUUAUUAGCCAAGCUCAUUGACACCAGAGAUUUAAGUUGUCCUAUUUCUGAAGGAAUGUGACCAGAGAGAUUGUUACCCCAAAGAAAGAGAAUGGAUAGUUUUUUCAAAUUUCCUAUAGAGGAAGGAAUCGAACCAGUGAGAUUAUUUACAGCUAAUGAGAGACGGGAAAGAGACGUCAACUUUCCAAUUUCAUGUGGAAUGGAGCCACUUAAAAGAUUUCUACAUAAAACUAAAUCAGUGAUACUUUUCAGGGAGCCUAUCUCAGAUGGGAUACUUCCCGUGAGAUCAUUAUAACAUAAGCCCAACUGAGUAAUCUGGGAUAGAUUACCGAUAUGUGAUGGAAUGGUUCCAUGAAUAGAAUUGUUCGAAAGGUCAAGAAUGGAAAGAUUGGGGAAGGAUGAGAAGUUGAAAUCAUAAAGCGUACCUCUCAAACCAAAGUUCGGGAAGGUCAGAUUGGCGACACUUCCAGAACCGUCGCAAGUGAUUCCAAUCCAAUUAAUGCAAGGGCUGGUGCCGACCCAAGAAGAAAGGAGAGACUGGCUUUGGUUGUCAAGACUUGCUUUCCAUUUGAGAAGAGCCUCAGUUUCUUUAAUAUUACCUCCAGCAACUUUGGAAUUGGCAGCACUAGUAGCCGUACCAAAUAUCGAAGUUUUAGAGGAAGUGUGAUCAGCAAGAACAAAGAAAGAAGAGGAGUAGAACAUGUGAAGGAGCAAGAAGAUCAGGACGUGGAGAAAGAUAGAGAAGAAUGGUUUGUGCAGUAAGGACGUCAUGGUGUGUUUUCAAGAGAUGCAGAAUAUUAAUGGUUUGCUAUGGUAGAUGGAGAUCCUAGGCUACAUGCAGUGGUAUUUAUAGGAUAAGGAUUGGAGUCUUUCUUAAUUUCAUCGAAUAUUAAAAUCUGAAAUUUCCAGCUCAUCAAUAAUUUCUUCAAUUAAAAAUGUCACAUUUCUGUCCACGCCUUGUUAACGAUCAGCACCUCGUCAUUUCCUUCUCUCGAAACACGAGAGAAGGAAACCUGAUUUUGAAGUCCUUUCUACAGCAUCCAAGACUUAUUAUAGGUUAAAGAAUAAUAUAAAAUUAUUUAUUAAGUUUUAUGUGAUAAUUUAUAUUGAGAUAAUUUUUUGAUAUAAUAUUAGAAAUUUAAUGAUUAAAUGGUGAAGAAUCCAAAUCUUUUUUUCUCUAAUUAUGUAGUGAUGAUACUGUGUAACCGGUCUUUUGAGUUGAGAUAUUAGAAAAAUUAGAAUAAAUAAUUACUCCAAUUAACCCAAAUUUUCUCAGCAAACAUUUAAAGAUUAGGAAUAUCAUUCUUUCCGUUUUAUGUUUACUUAAAUUUUCUUACUUUAAUUUCACUGUUUGACCUCUGAAUAUAAAUUAAAUCUUAGGCAAAAUUGGUUUUAUACUUUCGUUUUGCAAGGAAAAUAUCUUAUUGGAAGCUUACCGAGGGCAGCCAACCACCAUACAAAAGCUUCAACGUUCGCUGGGCUAGAGACUUCCAAACACAUGAAUCUAUUGACUGUCUGUUUCCUUGUAAAAUUACUGCGUCCAAUAACUUCCUACAAGACUGAACUGUAUACAUCUCUGUGCUGUGAUGAAUCCAAACUUAUCUAUCUUGCAGCUUCGGAUUCAACUGAAAACUCUCCCAAGACCUUAAUUAGCUGUCUCCUUCAAUUAAACUUCCAAGCCCAAACUGAAUCUUGCCAGCAACCUGAAUCUUGCCAGCAUACACUUUUGAUCACAUGCAAGCGUAAACAGUCCUGGGAAGACUGUCCUCAAUGCACAUUCAAGUCUUAUUUGGUGAUGUUUUCUACCGAGUCAUCUGUGUGACAGACAUUCUAUAUAUGCUUCCAAGUUGUUGUCAAAUACACUAUAAGUCCAUGCUCAAGGAGCCAGUCAUCCUUACUUAUAUAUAUAUAAAAACGAAGCAAAGGGUUCAAAUUGGCAUAGUGAUCGACUGAAAUUACCUUCAUUAAGCUUAAAAAUCAAGGAGUUUUUGGCUCAUAAAAAAUAAUAUGGUUUUUAAUAAGGUGCAGCCGGAUUGAAAUUUGAGUUUCUCUUCGAUCUUGCAUAGAUUAUGAGUUUGGAUAGUGUGUAGCAACUACACUAUAAAUAACCUAAUCUGUAAUGCAUUUAAUUUCAACUAUACUAAUAAUGACUUUAUCUAUAGUGCAUCUAAUUUCAACUUAUUAAUUCAGUUAUUCUUUUUAAUUAUGUUUCUUUCUAUUUCCUUUUAUAUCAUUUGUAAUGCAGACAUUUUAUUUUCUUGUAAAUGAUUAUUUAAAUUUUCAUAGGUCACCUUUUAAAGAUUAUAUUUUGAUUAAUACACUCGAUUAUUAUAUAUGUAUAAAAAAUAUAUAGCAUAAAAUCAGUAAAUUUCAAAUUUCAAAUUUUUAAUCCAAUCACCAUCAACUAAUUAUGAAUAUACAUUAUCAUUAAAAAAAUUCAAAGUUCUUUGAUUAUUUGAUUACCUAAUUGUUGACAUGUGGGUUCCUUGUUCAUGCAGCUGCAGACUCCUUCCUUUUUUAUCCUCAAAUUCGGCUAGAACGUUCACAAUCAAUGGCAUGAUGUAUCAUACUCUCCUUGAGUUUCUGCUACCCCUUUUGUUUUCCAAAAUGUCGGAAUGUAUACUACACUCAAUAAUCAUUACUGCAUUAAUGGGAAAUUCUGAGUUUCCAUGUAUUAGAUAGACGGAAUCACCGACAGAUUGAAAAAUUAUUGGUAAUUAUUAGUGAUUUCUGAAAACUUUUUAUAAAAUUAAAAAUUUAAAUUAAAUAUUACUGAUGGAAUUACCGAUGAAAUAAUUAAAAAAUAUUAAUAUUUAAUUAUCCGUCGGUAAAUCCGUCGCUAACGCAUCACAAUAAAAAGCCUGAAUCCCCUUAUUUAACAAGUGACUUAUUUCUUCUUCUACUUCUUUUUCUUCUUCUUCUUCUUCACUAUAUGUAAAAAAACAUCAAUAUCUAUUUCUUUCUCUUCUUUUCUCUCCUCAUCUUUUUUUUUCCCUCCAUGCUCGGGUAUGUCUUCUUCUUCUUUCUUCUUUUAUCCUCUUAUUUUUUUUAAUUAAUAUGCUUUACGAAAAAAAAUUCUCUCCUUAGCUUCACUUACAACUACAUUAAGGUAAGAUUUUUCUUUUUUCUUCUUUUUUCAUGAUUUUUUUCACUAUAUUUGUUUUUUAUUUUAUUUUUAAUUGUUUUUGUUCUUAAUAAUUGUAUAAAUGUUGUUGGGAGAUUUUAUUUUUUCAUAUGAGAUCAAUUUUUAGUUGAUUUAUUUAUAGGAUUUUUAAAUUUUUAGCAAUUGCAACUUCAUUUUUUUCAUAUGAAUUUUUUUAGUUGAAUUUAUUUUUUUGUUUUAUUUAUUUAUUGCAAAUUUAUUUGAGUUGAUUUUCUUAUUAUUUUUUCCAAGCAUUUUGAGUAUAUAUUAUAGUGUUGAUUUAUGUUGAUUUAAUUAUUUUAUAAUUUUAUAAAAUGAAUUUUUUUAAAAAUGUUUUUAAAUAUUUACCAACGGAAUUAAAUCAGUAAAUCCGUUGGUAAUAAAAUAAUAUUAUUACCGAGACGUUUGUUCCGUCAGUAAAUCCGUCGGUAAUAAUAUUUUUUUAUUACUAACGGAUUUACCGACGGAUAAAAAAUUACCGAUGAAAGAUUCACCGACGGAUCAUUUCCGUCGGUGAUUUCGUUGGUAAAUUAAUUACCGACGGAAUAUGUGUUUUACGCCAACGGAAAAAUUCCGUCGGUAAAACUGUUAAAUGUUGUAGUGAUGGCCGAGUUUCACGGCAAUGCUAAGAAUAACAGUAGCUAUCUAGCUAGGAAGAUUGCGACAUCAUUUUUCAUUGGCCAAUCAAUGGCAAGUCUGUGCAUUUCUGAUUUUUUCUUUUUCAUGUAUCUCCAUACAGGAACAAGUAUUGAUCAAAAGCAUUCUGAAACCUUUCCUAAUCUUUAGCUGAGAAAGAGGUUUGUCUUCUUUGAGCUUGUUGGCUAACCUAAUUCUCUGGAAGAAAUUGAGAAUCUUUCUUUCAAUUUGCGUUUUAUUUGUGACAUUGAUGAGAACGUCCUGUCUUGUUGAAUUAUUGACAAUUCUUGCAAUCUUAUAGGUCAAUGUAAUAUUAAUUUCUCUCAACUUUGAAAGCAAUGCUCUGGAGUUGUGUUGUUGGAACAAUCACAAGCGUUACAAAAAUAAACAGGUCAAUCACUUCUGGAAAUCUGAAGCAAGCAUUGAAAUUGAAAUUAGAAAGAAACAUGUUUAUUCUUGUUGAGCAUUGUUGUAGUUUUUGUGGUUGUCAUUAUAAAACAAUUAGUUUAAAAAUUAUAUUUUUAAUUAUAAUUUUUUUUAAAAUAUAUAUUUAGUUAAAAUUGAUGUGAAAUUAAUUUUUUCAUGCAAAAUAAAUGAAAAGUUGUCUUCAUGAGUGAAAAACAGGUUAUUCUAACUCCUAAAAAAAUCAAUAUGAACCUAAUAUAAAAAAUAAAAGUUAUUUAGCUAACUAAAUAUAUAUAUAUAUAUAUAUAUAUAUAUAUAUAUAUAUAUUUUGUGUUUGGAUAAAAAAGAAAAUUAUCACUGUACGGUCUCUAAACAGAGAUCGUAUUUGCUUUUCCUUUUGUUAUAAAAAAAAGCGACCAUUGCAAUGGCAGACAAUGUCACUAGGACAAGUGAGCAGAAUUUUAUGUUCCUUAACAUUAACCAGUAAAUUAGAGAGAGAGAUGAGUGAUAUUGUCUAAAAUUUUCGAUGUUUUCUGUGUUGUUACUGUACUUAUAGCUUCCGCUACUGUACUUGUAGCUUCCGCCUACAUUAUCUUUCCCUUGUUGGCUAACGUAAUUCUAUUGAAAAAGAUUGAAAUUCGUUAUGUUUUCAUGUAAUGUCAUGGGAAUCAAAUUGCGAGUGUUAUUUGCAAACUAUAUAUGGCAAUGCAGAAAAGGGUCUACUCAAAUCAUUCUAAAUUAUUAUUGCACCCUCAGAAAACAUACUUACCGCCGCACACACUUUUCAUAUACACAAAAUCUGUAACUUGCUGCAAAAUAAAGAAUAUAUGUGCUUAUUCUUUCUUUUAUCAUUACUUGCUGCAAAAACUGAAUUGAAGAAUUUCUGAAAUGGAUGAAGAUAAUGGAAUUUGAUUGCAAGAUUCAUUUGUAAAUAAGAAGGGAAUUGAAUUGGAGAAUAGAGCUUAAUUUAUCUGCUUUUAUGACUCAAAAUAUCAAUCAAAUUGAUCAGUGACUAACGCUAGUCAAACUAUGAAUACUACAAUUCUUUUCUGUUCUCUCCUUUUAUUUUCAGAUGUUCUCAAUCUCUAAUUCGUUGUGUUUGUGUUGGAACUGUAUCGAAAUGCGUGAUUAACCACCAUUUCCUGAGGUGUUAGUCUAUCCUUUUUGUCCAUUAAUACUACAAUUAAUGCAAACUCUUGUGUCUGACUACAAAAGCACACGCACCUUACUGCUAGUUGUGCACUAGUACUGCAAUUUCACUUAAAGUUUCUGAGCUUAAUACCUAUGGCUGCAAUUUCACCUUAUUGUAUUUUUCAGCAGCUGCUUCUAUUUUGACCCCUUCACAUGUCGCUUUGCUCCCUGACUACCUAUAUAUACUUACAGUGCCCUAAGAUUUAACAUAUUGUGUCUGAGAGUCAUUACUUCGCUUGCAUUUCCAUGAUUGCUUUGUCAAAGUAAGUUUAAUAUUUAAUUACUUGAGACUCUUUAAAGAAAACAAAUAUCCAAAAUCACUGGUAACACGCUAUCGUGCUCAAAGGGAUAAUGGAGGGUUACCAAACAUUCCACUCCACUGAAUAGAUAAUGGAGGACCAACGUUGUCAGAUUCAAGAAAUUGGGGAGACUAGGGAAACAAGUAAAACAAAAAAUGAUCCCUCGUAUCAGAAUUGAUAUUAAAAAAAUGGCACGGUUAUUGUGGCAUCUCAGUGGACGACGGCUGGGACUCCCGCGAAAUCAAGAGGAAAAAUAUAUAUAUCAUGGAAAAUUGAGUCUCCUCCUAUUAAUUAAAGAAAAUUAGAGCUUCUAAAAUAUAUAUUGAUUUAAGGGAUUAGUUAAGCAUAUAAAAAAAACGACAUUAUUUUUAUAUCAUCCUUUAUUACAUAAUGUUAUCUUUAUUAUUUAUUUUUUCCUCAAUUUAUCUUUUUAAUUGCCCUUAAUUAUCCUCAUUGUUUUUAGUUUAUAUUUUUUAUUUCUAAUUAUUUGGUGAAGAAUUUGAUGUUAGUCUUUAAAGACUUCAGAAAAUAACAUUAAUCCCUAAAAAUGAAAAACUCAUCAAAAACGUUGAUAUUAAAUCCUAAAAAAGAUUUUCAUCAAAAUUGCUAAAAAUAUACAUAAACCGUAUUUGAAUUUAAAUCUAGACAUAUAUCCCUUUUUAAAAAGAAUACUUAUAAAAAAUGAUAUUUUUCCUUAAAAUGAGAGAAGAAAACGAGACUCACGUAUGAGUUCCUAAAAAUAAACAUGUGUCCUAAAAAUCUAAGAAACCUAGGAAUACAGCUCUCAGGUUGGAUAAUCAAUUGGUUCUAGUAAUUUUAUCUAUUCUCCCUAGCUAAGGUAGUUGAUAGCUUAUACUUGGUACUUGGUAGGUCCCUGUAGGAUUUUUAUACGUCUAAAAGGUAUAGGGAGAUUAGGGUUCAAUACAUUAGAUGUAGUUGAGUUCAUAAAGAUUAAGUUCUUCCCAUAGGCUAGACCAAAUAGAGGAGGGUCACCCUCUUGGGCAUGCCAAGAAAGGAUGGUCAUUCCUUUGGGUGUGCCCAAGGAAGGAUUAUGCUCUCAUUCUUUCGGGCAUACCAAUGGAGGAUGCUCAUUCUCUUGAGCGUGCCCAAUAGAGAAUGGUCAUUCUUUUGGGAAUGUUAAAGGAGGAUAUGAUCAUUUUCUUAGGUUUGUCCAAGGAAAGGUGGUCAUUAUCUUAAGCAUGUCAAUGGAUAGUGAUCAUUCUCUUGGGUGUGCCUAGAGCUUAGCACACUGCCAAGCCUAGUGUGGUCGGGGUUUGGCACAUUACCAAACCCAGCAUCUUGGGGCUUGGCGCACUGCCUAACCCAAUCACCUCUGAGUCUUGCUAACGUCAGACCUAGCAUCCCGGGGCUUGGAACACUACCAAGCCCAAUGCAUCUUCACUAGGACAUGCUUGUUUUCCUGAAAAUUUAUACCCGUAAAUUUUUUUUAAUCCGGUAUUUUUUGAUAAAGAUAUAUUGUUAAAAACUUGGUUCAUCAACAUCAAAUUAAUGGUGGAUAAUGAAAAUAUAUAAUAUAAGCACAAUUUCAAGCAGUAGAACAUAUUCAUAAAUCACUAUCACUACUAAAUAUGAAGACAUGUCUCAUAUUUUAAUUUCUGUAUUGGCUGCAGGGUUUGCGAUGGAUCAGUACUUCUAGAUGACACAGACAACUACACUGGCGAGAAGACUGCGACUUCACAAUUUCAAUUCACUCAAAUCCGAAGGACUUAGAAUUUGGUUGAAAAAAUUAUAAUAGUUGUCAAUGAAGAUUGCAAAGGGAAUGUGGUCUCAUGUGCAGACAUUUUAGCUGUCGCAGCUCGGGACUCUGUCUCCAUUGUAAGUAGAGAAUAUUUACUUACAUUUUAGCUAUAGCAUGAUUCUACUUGGGGGGUCGUUUAUACAAGUGCUCGGUUUAUUUAGGCUGAAAUGAUUCAAGAACAGGAAGCAAAAAUGACGCAAACAUUAAUCUUCCUCCCCCAUUUUUCAACUUCUUGCAGCUAAUCCUAAU